Molecule: long non-coding RNA, 54849 nt
Filed under: Ananas comosus (pineapple)
Lineage: Eukaryota; Viridiplantae; Streptophyta; Magnoliopsida; Poales; Bromeliaceae
Source: RNAcentral
CAAAACAAAGUUUACAUAGUUGAUGCAAAGUUUAAGAUGGUUUUUAAUUUCUAAGUGGUGUCUUGAGAAACAAAAAAAAAAAGAAGCCAAAAUUGAAACAAUAUGCUUAGCAAGCAUAAAUUUUGCACAAAAUAUCAUAAAGCGUGAAAAGUUAUGUUAGAUACUAAUGGGCCAUAAAAAUAUCACCUAAGAAUCUUGGAGCAAUCACCCACAAUGACGAGAAGCAAGAACAAACAGAAGAAGCAGAUCAAGAGCUUAACAACGAUAUACACUACAUGUUGGAGGAAAAAAGCAUGCAAUAACUUGGCUUGAAGAUGCGUGGACUGCUGGGAAGAUACGUCCAUGCCCUAAAUUUGGCUUUCAUUUCUACUCUCCACUUUUCAUAGAAUAUAUGGAUGAGAUUAGCUUGUUUUGUUGCAUAGUUAUAAAAAUAGUAGCAUCCCAAAAUCGUUAGGCAUGCAAAAUCAAAACAGACAUAACACCGGAUUGUCCCCAGGUAGUUGAUUUGACGAUGAACCUUCGCUUCCACCAUUUUUUCUGCUAAAUAAUCUUUGAUUAACCCUCAUUUCUAGGCUCAUAGCCCUUGCCUGCAUUUUUUCUGUUAUCCUCUGAGAAUGAAAACACUAUUCUAACUCUCACAUUCAAUUCUAUGAGCAAAGCAAAAAGGAAACAAAAUUUUGCAUUUAUCCCAACUCCUUUAAGCUUGUAAAUCAUUGAAAAUUUGUGUCAACAAAUCUAGCCUUAAUUCUACCGAAACAAAAACCAUGGAAUUCAACAAAAAUAGAAUAAAAAAGGGAGAACAUGAUAGAGAGUUUUGGUUUAAAAUAAUUUAAUCAAUAGACAAAUGAAUGGCAGAUCUUCUUCAAUUAAUGAGCAAGAAAGAAAGCACAAAGCUGUAUUUUGUUGAAAUUGAACACCAUCAAAAUCCAUGUAUGACACAGCAAAUGGCCUUUUUUGAUGAGUUGGACGCUGAAAUAUUCACUCUAAUAGAUUAGUUCAGGACCAAACCUAGAUAUCUUCUGCUCACAAUUUUCUUUUCAUUUUUCCUAAGUUCAGAUUUCUUCAAUUUUUGUGCUGGUUCCUGAAUUGCUCUCUCUGUUUGAUCUCUUAUUGGUUGUUUUAGAUGUGCCAAUUUGAAAUGUCAAUACUGCUUAGUUGACAGUAAUGACACUUAGACCAAGGAUUUAAGUGCCGUGGCACGGGGUUGUGUCGUAAACUUGCCGACACGGUACGGCAUGGCACGUGCCGAGUAGUGCCGAUGCGUGCCGGUCAAAAAAAUUCUUGUGUGCCGACACAUAAUAGCAUGAAAUAUUUAUUUUCUUUAGCAACAAAAUAUUCUAACUAUUUAAUAUUUCUUUUUAUCACAUCUUUUGAACUUUAUUGAGAAAAUUACGUACUAAUUUAAAGAAUAGAGGGUUUUAAGCUGUGCCAUCGGCAUGGGGUCUGUAUCGUGUCGGUAUCUUGUUGGCACGGUACGGCACGAUGGAUACGGCUCGUGCCGACUGGCACUUAAAACCUUGACUUAGACUACACUCGAGUAAAUAUCAAAUGCAAAUCGAAGAACCAAAUCUUCCCUUAGUGGUACAGGUCACUUAUUUCAGAAAGGGGAACAAAUUGUUCGCCAAAUCUCUCCAAAUACAUCUCAUGAAGAAAUGUUUUGUUAUUUGGAAAUUAUAUUAGCAUCCAGCCCUACUUAGAACCGGUCAAUAUUCGCGAUUAGUGCCAAAAGAGGAAAGUGGCGAUAACAAUUAGACGAAAGAGGUUCUCAUAUUCCGAUCAUUUUUGAAUCAUGAAAUACACAAGGCCCUAAGAUAUGUAAAAUAUAAAGAAUUUUUGUCAGCAAUAGUAGAACAACUGGAAAAAUUAUUGGUGAUAUAGCAAACCCUCUCUGAAAGUAAAUGUUUCAACCGCAUAAUUUUUCCGAGUCAGAGCACAAGAAGAGUUGACCAUGGUAUGGACAACAAUUCUAGCAAUUUGAGUCGAGAAUAUAUUCUAAAUAAACUGAGGUCACUAUAUCAUUUAAAGGCAACAAAAGAAAACAGCACAAACCAGCAUAGUUCUAAAGGAAUUGCAAAACAGAAUCUGAUCUUUCCAUGCUUUCCAUCCUUUCUCACUAUAAAUACACAGUGAAGCGAUGAACCAGUACAAGCCAAUCAAAUAACCUAAAAUAGCAGAAGAGAAGUCUUACAUGGUGAUAAGAGUUUAUCUUUGAUAGCCAAGGAUGACUUGCCUGCAACCUCUUUGAAGCUUUUGCCAACUAAGGCUACAUGUGGUUCCAUAGGCAGUCUCCUUGGCUAGCCUAAGUGGCUCUUAUCCUUCCAUGCUAGACUGUAAUCUCUUCUAUAUAGUCAAAAUUGGUAAGUUCCAAAUAAAUAGGCCAAAGAGAUCCUUUUAUAGUAAGAACACUUAUUAUAACAAUAUUUCCAAAGAAUUUUUAAAGAAUAGAUUUUUGUAGAGUACUUCAAGAUUGAUGCCAACAAUUUUAAAUAGGCCUGCAUAAAAUGAUCACCUUUUUUUUUUUUUUUAAAUUCUGUGAUAUUCUCAGGAUUCUCGUGCUUGGUGGCAUGUUUGAUUUGUACCUGAUGGGUUGAUUUAGGACAACACUUUUUUCCUUCUCAUGUCACGGAGCAAAAGAAAAGUAUUUUAUGGAUGGUAUCCUAUAUAUGACUUACUAUUUCUUUAAUAGUUCAAGUUAUGGUGGCCAAUCGGGUUUUAGCUGUAAGAUGGUUUUUGCGUAUUAAUCAAAUGCAAGGAAAGCAAUACAGCAUUAAUAGGAAAUAUAAUUCGAAGGAUGAUUACAUAAAUUGCUUCUAUCGGCAAUUAUCCAUGAAGAAGGUCCUCACCUUCAUCCUCAGGCACAUCCAUUUUGUAGUGGAGAUAUGCCUAGCAAUUUCUCACUAAAUGGACAACCACUUGCCAGAUUCUACGAAAUAGGGAGUUACUCAAACUAUCCACACCUUUAUUUUUCUAUCAGGCCUUGAAAGCCAAAGUUUUAGACAGGAUAUCAGUGCUUGUUUUGAACUUUCAUAAAGCACAAGUUAAUACAAGCUUCUGCAACUUUUUGCAAUAAGUUGUAUCAAAAGUAUAUUACGUAUACUGAUGUUAGCUCAUUAAUAUAUUCAAGAGAAUGUCAAAUAUUCAAUACAAAAAAGAUCAUCAAUAUAAGCCAUUGGCAAUUGAGUAACUAUUUCUAAAAAGCAAGAUUAGACAUCUCAAGAUAGUAAUGUAUUGUUUCGAACAAUUUUUUGACUGUCAGCUUUAAAGAGGAUGGGGCAUAAUAUAACUCAUCAUUUUAUUCUCUUUUCAAUAAAGGCAAAGGACGAGAUCUGCAUAGCCUUCAGCUUGAACAUAAAACAAGGAUUCCUGAGAGAUUUGUUGGCUAUUUAUUAUUGGCUAAAAUAGGUCCACUUUCUGCUCCAUGACAAUAGGCCCAAAAGACUAAUAAAUGAGUAGGGUGAGCCCAAAAAGUUGAGUGGGGAUGCAAUCCAUAAUAGACCUAACAACAAGAGACCCAAAAAUAAAUCUAACGUUCAGGUGGGUUAAGUCAGGUCGAAGCCCAUGAGCUCUGUAGCUGAGCCCUUUAGUCUGAUGGGUGCGCCCUUCCUAUCAACAUAUGCUUUUGGGACAACCAGUUAACGCUUACAAUCCACAAGAUUUACAGAAAACAAAAUAACAGAAACAAAUGAUAAUGGGCAGGUUGCAUGAAACAUGCCUCUUUACGUGCUCAUAUCUAAACAGAGGAUACAGAUUACUAUGGCUAUGUAUGGUUAUGGUUGAUGAUGUUCUGAACACAUCAAAGGGCACAAAAAAUCUGGAACAGAACACACAUUGAAUUCAGUUCAGAAGAGAAGCAUACGCCCCAAAUAAAUAAAAAGAAGGAAGCAUCUGCAUCACCUUCAAUUGUAUUUGUUGCUUCAAUUCUAUGCAAUAAGCUUACUCUGUGGAGUUUUUUCCAUAAUAAAAUUUAAAACAAAAAAAACCAAUUUGUUCAGCUAUUGUUUGAUGGAAAAUGAACAAAAAACACUAUCUAACUUAAACAGAUAGUAAAACCGAAAAAAAGAUAAUAGAACCAAUCGCACAAAACAAGAAACCAUGAACAUAUACAAUAGAAGCAACGGUGUAAAACCAAUAAACCUAAAAAUAUAUAUUGUACAGAGGGUUAGAAAAGCUAAACACUUAACAAAUGAAGCAAUGAUUGAAGCAAUGAUCGAGAAGUAGUACACAUUAUACCCUGAAAAGACUUCCCAGUAUCCUUCAUACUAAAUUAUCUACCAAAAUUGUAAUUCAGUAAAAAGAUUAGAAAAUAUAGAUUAAUAACGAGCAAGGUUGAUUGAUUAAAGGGCAUGAGCAGUGCAUAUUGAUUGAAAUUCGAAUUGUAGUGCAGAAUUAUCCAUCCAAAGAGCAGCAUCCAAUCGGCCAGAUCAGAUUAUAUACUAUUUGACAAAUUAGAUAACAAAAAAGAACAAAUAAUCCACAACAAAAGGAAAUUUUGGAAUCUUCAAGAAAAAAAAGCUUACAACUUGUUCCCUUCAAAUCACGCAUUAGCAUAUCUACACCUUGAAACACAAUUUGACAUUCUUUUUUCAAGUUUUCAGUUAAGAUUCUAUUCUCCCACUCACUUUGAUAUUCUCGCAAAUGGCUCAUCCUAUACUUUUUUAAUAUCACGCAAAAUUCUUGAUAAAUUUGCUGCAAAGUCAAACCCGCGAACCCACAAAGGAAAUAACCAGAAUGUUCAAGUGACUCAUACUACAUAUUGAUGUUGAUGGAUGGUGUGGAAUUCACAAAGACUAAAAGCGAACCUUAAAAGCAGCCGUAAUCGUUUUCUAGCCAUCUUGCACUGAAUGUUCUUAUAUUCUAUUACGAUUGCAGCACCUCACUCUACAAAUGGUCAAGAAAGAUUCUGAUACCAAAAGCCGAAGAAUAGAUUACCGUCCUUGAAAAUUAUGUAACCACUGCGUUUCUAGCGUUUGUAGUCAAAGACUCAAAAACAACUGCUGCAGAAAAUAAAACAAGAUAUACAACACUGAAGCUCUCUCUCAGUGUCCAUACGCAAAAGCCCAUUAAAAAAGGCAUAAGAGGGAUAUAUUCUUAAGUGGUGGCAAUUUGAGCUUACAAAAAGUUAUAGACAAGGAGAUUUCUUUUUGCCUCUCUGGAUCUAACGGAAAGACAUAUAUUGAUCUCUUGUCUUGGAAAUACUAUAAAUAGAUGCCGAGGCAAGCAUUACGAACCAACCGAGUGGAGCAAGUCGAGCGUAGCUGCAGAAGAGAAGUCUUACAUGGCGACGAGAGUCUAUCUUUGAUAGCCAAGGAUGACUUGCCUGUAACCUCUUCGGACGUUUCUUUACAAUCGAAAUACUCUAAAAAAAAGCACCUUAUGGUUUACACAGGCAGUCUCCUUGGCUAGUCUCAGUGGCUCUAAUCCUCCCAUGCUAGACUACAUUGAUCUCUUCUUUUAUCAUCAAACAAGAUUCUUCAUGAUGCUUCAAAAGUUUUAUAUCAGUAUAUAUCCCCGAACUUCCAAACACAGCGCAAUUUCAAAAAAACCAGGUUUUUCCGGUCGUAAAAUCACCUAAAAUACUUCUCGUAUACGCAUAUGCUUAAUUAGAGGUUAAAGAGGUCACUUUGCAGGGAAAAUCACAAGAUGAGAUGGUUCUAAGGUAAACAAUCUAAAUCUAGGCUGCAAAAUUGAUUGCUUAACAAACUCAAAUCUUCUACCUAAUGAUUUCUCAUAUAAAGUUGAAUGCAGUUUUUCAAUUCUCACCCCUCACAUGGGAAUGGUGAAUGGUGGCCCUUCUUUUGAAAACCCUAAAAACCCCAAAUUGGACAACCCAAAUCUUUACCGACUUAGACAUGCUGAGAUAUUGAGCACUAUCCUUGUCUACUAUUUACCAAGCUAGAUUUUCUCCUAAUUCUUUCUCCUUUCGAGUAGUGUCUGAGAUUCCUGGUUAAAUAUCGCUCAAUGUGCCUUUGUUAUGUAGCAUGCAGAUUACAAGAUGAGGAAACAGAGUUAGAGAUCUUACGAGCUGAUGAAGAGAGAGAGAGAUGAGUGAGAUCCUGAAGCUUAAGCUCCUCCUGGAUUGGGCCAAGCGAUCGAAGCCGAAUACAGAUCCUUCACUAUUUCUAAUUUUUCUUUUUCCCCUGUUGUUUUUUUUUUUUUUUUUUUUUUUUUUUUUUUUUUUUUGGUGUUGUGGUGUGUAGUAAAAAAUGUAUGGAAACCACUCAACGGAAGUAUCCUGUGCCGCUUACAUCAUAUCAUUAAUAUUCAGUUACGGAUCGUUACUUGAGCAAGCGACAAACGGCUUGAUGGUUGAUACUCGAGACCCAAGUUCGAAUUCUAGUUGAUUCACAUUUUCAACUAAGUUUAUUUCUAAAUAAAAUAAACGAAGCGAGUAACGUGCUACAUAUCUCUCAAAAAAAAAAAAUCAGUUAGUUAUAUCUUAUUUUUAUCUAUUUGUCUAAGCAAUUUAUGAUCGGAUCUACUUGUCUAAGCAAUUUAGUGUGAGAAACUUAGUGUAGAGUCAAAAGAUUAGUGUAGAGUCAAAAGAUUACUUGUCUAAGCAAUUUAUUAUCGGAUCUACUUGUCUAUCGGAUCUACUUGUCUAAACAAUUAGUGUAGAGUCAAAAGAUUAAAAAUUUGAAUCUACAUUGUCUCAGCAAUUUAGUGUGAGAAACUAAAUAACUCUUGUGAGCAUGUGGGACUAAUCAUGGAAAGAGUGAUAAUAAUAGAACAUAAUCAAUUGGUGCAUCCAAUAGAGUCGAAUCCGAGUGAUAUGGGUUAGGCAUAUGGAUUUUUUUGGUAAGUGGAUUCGCAAUGACUAGUAAAGGAUGGCAGUAAGAGAGAGAGAGAGAAAAGAAAACGAGUUUAGGAGUAAAUUCGAAACAGAUAAACAGAUAAAUUUUAUUUAUUUUUAAAAAUACAUACUAUUUUUUUUCAAUAAUCAUGAUGGAAUGGUUGAAUUUAAAAAAAAAAAAACGUUCUAAUUGGUUGAAAACGUCAUAUCAGUAAUAUAAUUGGUACUUUGUAAACUUUUUAGUUCCCGCCUCGAUUCGCCCCGCACACAAUGAUGAGUGAGAAUUGAAAAUUAAAAACUAAAAUUUAUCUAUUUCGAAUCUAUCCAAAUCCGAUAAUAAAUAAAGCGGAAGCUGGGAGACUCUUCCUAUCCCGGAUCCAUCGCGUUUGCAUCCCUAGACCCCUCAGAGCGUUUUCUUUUCUCUCUCUCUCUUUCACUGUCACCCUUAACUAGUCAUUGCCAAUCCACUUAUUUAAAAUCCGUACGCCUAACACAUAUCACUCGGAUUCAACUCUAUUGGAUGCGCCAAUUUAUUACGUUCUUCUUCUUUUUUUUUUUGAGAAAAAGGUAGCACGCUACCCGCUUCAUUCAUUGAAAGUAUGAACUAGGCUACAUGGGUGAGGCAACAUGGGCCUCGAGAGAGCGGAAAAAAAGAAAGAAAAAAAAGAAGAAAGGAGCGGGUGGGGAGGGGGGCGGCGGUUUAGGGAGGGGUUUGUUUUGCUGGAAUAAGAUAAUCCCACUCCGACUAUAGCUGUUUAAGCUUGUGUACUACUAACAUAGGAUUCGGCUAAAUAUUUCUAAAGAUCAUAUCAUUUCUUGCCUUCCAAAUAGACCACCAGCAUCCUACCAAUUCGGAUAAGCUGCUUCUCGUCUUAUGGCAUCCCUUCCUAUACAUCCACGAUACCAAAACUAGGAUUACAUCGUUUCCCAGGUCCCUCGCCUGUACGCCGUCCACUCCCGUCGCGAUGAUAAACUUGCUGAACACACACCGCGUGAACAGGUGGUCCACUGAUUCCUCUUCCGCUCCGCAAAACACGCAAUCUAAGUUUCCCACCCACCCACGCUUCACGAGUAAAUCGGUUGUAUGGAGCCUCUUCUUGAGAACGAGCCAACAGAAUACUUUUACUUUAAAAGGAAUAUGGAGUCUCCAAAUCCUGCAUAUAGAAGGGGCCCUCAUUCCCCCGUUAGAUAACGCUAAAUAGGUCGUAUUUACCGAGAAAAGUCCGUUAGGGCUCCAAUGCCAAUAUAACUGGCCUGACCUUUGUUCAACUGUGAAGUAGGAUAUCCUUUCCUUGAAUUCUACAAUGUUAUCGUUAAUUCCAACAAAAAUUUCGGGCUCCGCACCCAGAAUCCUAUGCCAGUUCCAACCGUCCCUCGUGAAGCAAUCCCUGACUUUAAGUUUUUUUCACUCGGACAUCUUAUAGACCUCCGGGAAUGCUUGGUCUAGCGUGGUCUCCCCACACCAGCGAUCUAGCCAAAAAUCAAUAGAGUUCCCAUUGCUUAGUUUAAAGAUGGCUCCCCAUUUGAAGAUGACGCUAAGGCUAAGGACUCCUUUCCACCGGUGAGAGUGUGGCCUAAAAGAUUUGCCUUCCAUCAAGGUCUCCUCCUUUGGUAGUAUAGGCCCCGGAUUACUCUAUUCCACUGCAAUUGGGGAGCCGUGUGGAACUUCCACCACCAUUUAGUUAGUAGGGCAUGGUUCAUGGUCAUUACAUCCAGGAUGCCUAGGCCCCCUUCUCUCUUGCUCUUACAAACGUUCUUCCAAGCUAUCAGACAUCCUUUGCCAGGAGAGUUACGUCCCCCGUUCCAAAAAAAGUCUCGACGGAGAGCUUCGAUACGCUUUAUCACCCAUUUAGGUGCCUUGAACACCGAAAGAAAAUAGAGUGGGAAGUUUGUUAGAAUAGCGUUUGCUAGGAUAAGUCUACCCCCCCUAGAGAGUAGUUUGGCCUGCCAACCAUCGAUCUUGCACUGAACUUUCUGAAUGAUGCCCCUCCAGUCCUCCUUAGAGGGGGGUUUGGGAGGGAGAGGCAAGCCCAGAUAUUUGGUCGGGAAGGAGCCAACGCGGCACUCGAGUAAAUUUGCUAGAGUACUCGCUUUUCCUUCUAUAUGUCCAAGGUAGUACAAUUUUAUUAUCACUCUUUCUAUGAUCAGUCCCACAUGCUCACAAGAGUUAUUAAGUUUCUCACACUAAAUUGCUUAGACAAGUAGAUCCAAAUUUUUAAUCUUUUGACUCUACACUAAUUGUUAGGAGGUUCUAAUUUAACCAAACCCACAUGGCCCAUGAAUAUUAUGUUUUUAUUGCAAUCCAUCCAACUCAAAAUCUUAAACAUCUAGCAAUAUGAAUAGGAAUUUCAAUGGGUUGGAUUCAAGGGGAAUUUUUUAAAACCCAAACUCGAUCAAAAUUUCGAAACCCGAAUUUGAGACCUGAACCCGAAAUUCUCGUUUUGUUAGAUGAUUCAUGAUUCAAAAAUGAAAAAUUACACGAAAGAUACAAUCAUACAAUGAACUCCGCUCUCUUGCUCUAUCUUUAAGAAGAGUAUGUAUAUUCUGCAUGAGGGAGGUAAUGAAAGAAUCUACAUCUAAACGAGUAGCAAUUUGAAGGUACACAACGAAAGAAUUAAUAGCUAUGAACAACAAGAAUUUGUGUGGCUCCCUUUUUUGUCUAGGGCAUUUAUAUAUAUGGUUUAUAUUCUCUUUCAUAUAGAUGUUGAGACAAGCAAUUCAAAGAUAAGUCUUGGGGGAAAAAGAAGAGAAAUAUUACACCGGCAUAAGAGUCUUAUAUCUUAGGUAGCGAAGAAUGAGUCAUCAGUGGCCUCUCUUUUUGAAGACUUAGAUUAACUCUGAAACUCCAUGUGAUUUUUAUGCGCAAUCUCUUUGGCUACUUUAAGAGCAUGUUUGGUUGAAAAUGAGAAUCGAAAUCGGAAUAGAAAAAUAAAAUAGUGACUUUAGUUGGUUUACAAUAGUAUUUGAAAUCAGAAUCAAUUUAUUAUUAUUAUUUGGUUAAGAAAAUUUUAGUCUACUAUAUAUAUUCGUAAUCAAAUUUUAAACUCAUAUUAAUUGACACUCAUAAUUUAUGUUCAAAGUCAAAAUAUCAAAUUUCAAAAUAUAUUGAAAUUAAAAUUAAAAUUAAAAUUUUAAAUUAAUAAAAUUUGAAAUUAUAUUAUAAAGUUCAAUUGUAAUUUAAUCUAAAUUUAAAUUUAUAUGUAUAUUUGAAUUUAAACAAGUAUUAAUUAUUGGGAAAAAAAAGAGCUCUUUACUCAAUCCCUCCCCAAAUCAAAAUUGACUCUCACCUGUAUUUUGUGAGUCAUUUCGAAAGGAUCCGAUUCCUCCGGAAUAGAAAUCGGAAUGCUAAUUAAUUCCGCAAAUCGAAUAUCAAUAUGUGAAUGGCUCAUUCUGAUUCCUAUUUCAAGCCUCAAUUCCUUUCAACCAAACACGGCUCUUAUCCAUCAUGCAUGCUAGUCUUAGAUCCCUUUAAUAAAAGACGAAGGAUUUUCACAUUACUGGAGAAUACAACUAUGAAUAAGUAGAGAUAUUCAUACUAUUAUUCAUAGUUGUAAUUGUAGUUCUUGAAAUAAUGUCCAAGAUCAGUCCUAAGGUGCAAUUACCAAUAUUAGAAACUUGCAUGACUGUACUAUCAUCUUAUAUAUGGCGCUGAGACUAUUUUUAGAUUAUUAGUUUUUCGUUGAUAAAUCAGUAUUUUGCUAGUAACAAAUUGUUAAUACUAGACCUACACCUCUCGAUUUCGAGUGGUCAUAACUUUAAAUCUUAUAUAUUCAAGGUUAAUGAACGAUACAGAUCAAUCUCUACCUAUUUCAUAAACGUUUUAAGCCGUGCAUGAUAUAUAUUCAUAAGUCUCACUACAAAACACCUUCCAUUAUUGCGCCUAUGAUGCUUGAUCAUCAUGCCUUACAAACAUUGCACGCAAGAAAUCAAACUUUCCAUCUUUUAAUAAAUAGUAAGAUACCUACGAACUGUACAAACAACAGGACUCUCUUUAUCAUCUCUCUCUCUCUCUCUCUCUCUCCCUCUCUCUCUCUCUCUCUCUCUUUCGCUUCAUUACUAUGGGCUCACCGAACGCACUAAACUUGAUUAAAGUUGUCCUUCAUUUCCCUGUGCAACGCCAUUUAGUAAACUCACGUGGUUACUGCGUUAUUAUAUAUUCACGUUCUUUCCGUGGCGCAGGACGAGUUAUCCCAUGAUUUAACAGGAGACCAAUAGGCCAUCAUGCGGUACGGACUACGGAGCAUUCAAUUGCACCACAUCUGAAGUUCACGUGCCGCAUCCCAUCAUAGCCGUCCACUCCGCAUCUAACGGCGAAGCGAGCGCCGUACCGUUCGCUCCUACCGUCGUCUUGUAGCCUGCUUGGUUGGUGGUCAUGUCCUUUUUCGUAUCGUAGUCUCCAUUGUAGUACUAUCGUAUUUUAUAUAUAUAUAUAUAUAUAUAUAUAUAUAUAGUUGGACUGGACUGCUAUUAAUAGCAAAAUUUUAUUAUUGCUACUAAUUUUUUAGCCUUUGGAUCAACUCUUUUCAUUAUUUCUAAUCAUUGAAUUAAAUACUAUAACCCAGUGGAGACCACUCAACCCUAGGCGGACCACUCAACUCUAACCGACUAAUAUCAUCAUGACCCUACAAUUUUUCAUCCAAGGGUUAAAGACUUGAUAGCAAAAAAAACAUUUUACUAUUAAUAGUAUUCCAGCCUAAUUAUAUAUAUAUAUAUAUAUAUAUAGUUCGGUUAUGGUGCUUGUAAAAGCACCAAGUAUUUGGUGCUUGUAAAUUUUUUACCGUUAGAUCUACUCCUCUGAUCAUUUUUAACCGUUAAAUUAUACUAUUUAACCAACCACCCACUCAACCUUAGGGGACCCACAUCAUCCUAACCGUACAUCUCUUAAUCCAACGGCUAAAAAUUUACAAGCACCAAUAACUUAGUACUUUUAAAAGCAUAAGAACUCAAUUCUAUAUACAAAGUUCGGUUAUGGUGUUUGUAAAAGCACCAAGUAUUUGGUGCUUGUAAAUUUUGUACCGUUAGAUCUACUCUUCUGAUCAUUUUUAACCGUUAGAUUAUACUAUUCACUAUCAAAAAAUUUUUAAAAAAAUUUAAUUUUUAAUAUCUGAUCUGUCAAUGCAUUUGAUUUGAAUCGAUCAAUAAAUUUUUAAUUUUUAAAUUUGAAUCCAUUAUUUAUUUUUACAGACUUAAUUCGUAUAUUUUAUACUAAAAUAAAUAAAUAAAUAUUUAUUAUUUUAAAUUGAAUAAAUUAAGAUUUGAUAGUCAUUUAAAAUAGUUUAUAAUUUAGAUAACUUUUGUAUACAUUUACCCUGAAUUUUUAAAAUUUACAGAAUAAAUUUAACGCAUAUUGUCUUUAUUCUCCAUGGAAGAAGACACCUGAACUUUAAUUUUUUUUUUUUUAUUACGACCUACUCAAUUUCUAAUUUUUUUACUUCAAAUUUAUAUAUUUAAUUAAGUUACAAAUUUUAUUAAUUUUAAUAAUUUUACUGGCUAUUAACUAUUGAAUAGUUUAACUUUAUUUGAUAAAAAUUAAUUAAAGUAAUUAAAUGAUAAAAUUACGUAUAAAUUUGAUAGAAUUUUUGUUUUUUUUACUAAUUAAAUCACCUAUUAUUCGAAAAUCAAAGAGUUAAGAGCAGUCUAAAAACCAAGAAAAAUAAAAGUUUAAGGGGUUGAUUUCAAUUCAUUCUAUAGUUGAGGGGGGCUUCUAUAUUAUUUAGGGUCUCCCCUCACAUGAAAUUUUAGAAUGUAAUGGCUAUAUUGGUUACGUGGCGUAACAAAUUAAUCAAAUAUGUUUUUUAGAAAUAUAUGUCCCAUCAUAAUUGUAAAAUAAUAAGGCCAAUUUGCAUAAAAAAUCCACUUAUUUUGAGCUUUUGCAAAAUCGGGCUACCUUUUUCGUUUUUGGAGAUUCGGUCCGCUUUUUCAGCAAACUGACCAAAAUACCCUUAUUACUUUUUCUCUUUCCUCUUUCUCUCUCCUCUUCGUUCUCUCGUUCUUUUUUUUUUUCCGCCGGGAAAAAAAAGCGAAGGCCAGACGGAGCAAUUUUUUCUUCUUUUUUUUUUCCCCUUUUUUUUUCUUCUUCUUCUUCCUCCUGCUGGAGCACCUUUUUUUUUUUUCCCUCUUCUUCUUCUUCUUCUUCUUCUUCUUCUUCCUGUAAGAGCACGGGGCGCGCCACGGAGACUUCCGGCCUCGCCAAGCGGCGUCCACCCGGCGGCGUUUUGCAGGGAGGGGUCGGCACCGGCGACCGUGAGCGCCCCGGCAAGAGUGGGGGCGCGCGGGAGGCGGGCGGCGAGGUGGAGCGGGGUGUCGCAGCCGAGGACGUCGCGCCUGUCGAGGGCAGCGGUCACGCGCGCCGCCCGGCGCUCCGCUCGUGCGGCGUCGGCCGCCGUCGCGAUCUCCGACGGCUGCUUCUUCUUUUUCGUAAUGGUGUAAUAGUGCACGCGGGCCGGUGCACGCAGCGGCGGCGGGCGGGCACGCGGGCGCGCUGCGGCUGCUUCUUCUUCGUCAUAACUCAAUGCUCUUUCUUCUUCGGACAAAGUCAAUAUCAGCAAUUGAAGCAGAUACUGUGCCUAAAUUAUGUAGACAUGUUAAACCAAAUAGUUUGAGAUGAAUAUGAAGAACAUAGCAAAGCUAGUGCACUACUGACCUCCACCGAAGUAUGUUUUUGUUAACAACCUGGCUGCCUCUGUCAAAGAACAAUAAUAUAUUAAAAAGAGCACAAGAUAAUACAUUCCACUCUAUAGAAAGCAGAUAGCUAAACGACCUUUGCUAAAACUUCGAAAAAAAAAAUACAAACGUUUUGCCCACAUAACAAGACCAUUACACCAUUAAUAGUGUAAUGGUGUAAUUACACCAUUAAUGGUGCAAUGGUUACACCAUUAAUGGUGUAAUGGUGCACCAUUACAUUAUUAAUGGUGAAAUUACACCAUUACAUGGUGUAAUUACACCAUUAAAGGUGCACGCGGCCCGCGGAGCGGAGCCGUGGGUGGAGCUUCGCCAGAAGGAGAGAGAGAGAGAAUUUACAAAAUGCGCUUUCCCUGCCGUUUCCUCCUCCUCCUCUUCUUCUUCUUCUUCUUCUUCUUCUUCGUCGUCGUCCUCGGCGGCGGCGCGGCGGAGGAGGGGUCGCCGGCGGCAGCGUAGGUGGCGGCGCUUCUGGCGGUGAGGUCGGCGCUCGCGGACCCGUCGGGCGCGCUCGCGUCGUGGUCCAACGCCAGCUCGUCGGAGCCCUGGCGUCGUGGCACGGGGUGUCCUGCUCUCCCGCGCGGCUCCACCCUCUGGCGGAGCUCCACCCACGGAGCUCCACCUGGCGGAGCUCCACCCUGGCAGAGCUCUCUCUCUCUCUCUCCCUCCCUCUGGCGGAGCUCCUAAAAUGAAAUAAAUUAUGUAAAUUAAGUACGCGCUUACAUGAAAUAAAUUAUGUAAUUAUUUUAUAAAAAAAUCCACUACGUGCUUACAUGAAAGUGUGUUUACAUAAUUUAUUUCAUUUUAGGAUUUGGAUUUUUUAAUUUUUUUUGUAGUUGGAUUUCCGUAGGCUUACUCUACUGUUGGCACACCUGACUAUAUUGCUCUAGAAGUUUUACUGAAGAACGGUUAUAGGAUGGAAUGUGAUUGGUAAGCUAUAUAUCUAGCCCGCAAGGUGUUCGACAAAAUGCCCGUGAGGGACCUGCUCGCGUGGACUGCGCUCGUCCACGGUCGUCCACGGCCUCUUGGGCCUGCGGGGUGAACGCGGGGUCGGUGAGGCGCGCGUACGCGAUGAGGAGAGCCGGGGCGGCGGCAGGGCCGGUGCAGCGGCGGAGCAGGAGGAGGUGGGCGUAGAGGGGGAGGGCGUGGUGGGGCGCGGCAGAGCCGGUGAGGGCGAGGAGGACGGAGGUGUAGGAGGUGAGAUCAGGGCGGGGCAUGCGGAGGAGGCGGGCCUCGGGCCAGGCAGGAGGCGGCAGCGGAAGAAGAAGAGAAAGAGAAAAAGAAAAGGAAAACAAAUAAUGUAAAAUUUUUUUAAAUAGUGCAACUGUGGUCUAAAUAGUGUAAAAUUUAUUCCAAAAGAGUGUAAUUUUUAUAUGUAAUAGUGCAGUUUUUAAUAAAACAGUGCAAUUUUUUAAAAAAACAGUGUAAUCUCAAGAGGCCGUGGACGACCGUGGACGAGCGCGGUCCAUGUGAGCAGGUCCCUCACGGGCAUUUUGUCGAACACCUUGCGGGCUAGAUAUAAGGCUUACCAAUCACAUUCCAUUUCAUAACUGUUCUUCAGUAAAACUUCUGGAGCAAUAUAGUCAGGUGUGCCAACAGUAGAGUAAGCCUACGGAAAUCCAACUACAAAAAAAAUAAAAAAAUUCAAAUCCUAAAAUGAAAUAAAUUAUGUAAACACACUUUCAUGUAAGCACGUAGUGCAUUUUUUUUUAAAAUAAUUACAUAAUUUAUUUCAUGUAAGCGCGUACUUAAUUUACAUAGUUUAUUUCAUUUUAGGAGCUCCGCCAGAGGGAGAGAGAGAGAGAGAGCUCUGCCAGGGUGGAGCUCCACCAGGUGGAGCUCCGUGAGUGGAGCUCCGCCAGAGGGUGGAGCCGCGCGAGGGAGCAGGACACCCCGCGCCACGACGCGUAGGGCUUCGACGAGUUGGCGUUGGACCACGACGCGAGCGCGCCCGACGGGUCCGCGAGCGCCGACCUCACCGCCAGAAGCGCCGCCACCUACGCUGCCGCCGGCGACCCCUCCUCCGCCGCGCCGCCGCCGAGGACGACGACGAAGAAGAAGAAGAAGAAGAAGAAGAAGAGGAGGAGGAGGAGGAAACGGCAGGGGAAGCGCAUUUUGUAAAUUCUCUCUCUCUCCCUCUGGGGAAGCUCCACCCGCAGCUCUGCUCCGCGGGCCGCGUGCACCUUUAAUGGUGUAAUUACACCAUUACACCAUUAAUGGUGUAAUGGUGUAAUUUCACCAUUAAUGGUGUAAUGGUGCACCAUUACACCAUUAAUGGUGUAACCAUUGCACCAUUAAUGGUGUAAUUACACCAUUACACCAUUAAUGGUGUAAUGGUCUUGUUAUGUGGGCAAAACGUUUGUAUUUUUUUUUUUCGAAGUUUUAGCAAAGGUCGUUUAGCUAUCUGCUUUCUAUAGAGUGGAAUGUAUUAUCUUGUUCUCUUUUUAAUAUAUUAUUGUUCUUUGACAGAGGCAGCCAGGUUGUUAACAAAAACAUACUUCGGUGGAGGUCAGUAGUGCACUAGCUUUGCUAUGUUCUUCAUAUUCAUCUCAAACUAUUUGGUUUAACAUGUCUACAUAAUUUAGGCACAGUAUCUGCUUCAAUUGCUGAUAUUGACUUUGUCCGAAGAAGAAAGAGCAUUGAGUUACGACGAAGAAGAAGCAGCCGCAGCGCGCCCGCGUGCCCGCCCGCCGUCGCUGCGUGCACCGGCCCGCGUGCACCAUUACACCAUUACGAAGAAGAAGAAGCAGCCGUCGGAGAUCGCGACGGCGGCCGACGCCGCCCGAGCGGAGCGCCGGGCGGCGCGCGUGACCGCCGCCCUCGACAGGCGCGACGUCCUCGGCUGCGACACCCCGCUCCACCUCGCCGCCCGCCUCCCGCGCGCCCCCACCCUUGCCGGGGCGCUCACGGUCGCCGGUGCCGACCCCUCCCUGCAAAACGCCGCCGGGUGGACGCCGCUUGGCGAGGCCGGAAGUCUCCGUGGCGCGCCCCGUGCUCUUACAGGAAGAAGAAGAAGAAGAAGAAGAAGAAGAAGAGGGAAAAAAAAAAGGUGCUCCAGCAGGAGGAAGAAGAAGAAGAAAAAGAAAAAGAGAAGAAAAAAUUGCUCCGCCUGGCCUUCGCUUUUUUUUCCGGCGGAAAAAAAAAAAAGAACGAGAGAACGAAGAGGAGAGAGAAAGAGGAAAGAGAAAAAGUAAUAAGGGUAUUUUGGUCAGUUUGCUGAAAAAGCGGACCGAAUCUGCAAAAACGAAAAAGGUGGUCUGAUUUUGCAAAAGUCCAAAAUAAAUAAAUUUUUUAUGCAAAUUGGCCAAAUAAUAAUUUUAUUAUACUUUUAUUUGAAAAAAAAAAUGUGGUUGGCUUGCUAUUGAUGAUGCAGUGUAAGUGUGAAGUGUAGAAUUCCACCUCUCUCACUCGUUCCUGCGCCGUGGGAGACACGCUACAGGAAAACAGUGGGACCCACCAAAUCCAAUCAAAUCCCUUCGACAGUGAUCUUCUCCUGAAAAUAUGUGCUGAUCAAUGUAACGCCUACAAACACGUUUUUUUUUUCUUUUUUUUUUACUGACAUGUGGGCCCGGCUCCAAGUCACAUGAGAAGUUGUUGCAACAAAUAGGUUUUUCUUUUGUUUUUGGGUAAAUUUCAAAUGUUAAUAAUGUGGUUUUGUAUUUUUUUUAUUUUAGUAAUAUGUAAUUUAAAGUGUAUUAAUUUAAUAUUAUAUAAUUUUUUUAACUUUUCAUUAAACUAUUAUAUAUAAAAAGCUUCAGAUAAUGCACCUAUAAUUUAUGAAAUAUUCACUUUACUACUCUUUAGUUUUAACUUUGUUGCUACCUUAACAAAAAAAAAUAAUAAAAAAAAGAAAAAAAAAAUAAAACUAUAGGGUACAAAAGUGAUACAUUUUAAAUUACAAGAUACUAAAGUGAGAAAGUGCGAAACUACAGGAGUGGUAUUUGAAGUUUUUUUCUAUGUGUCUAUAUUUAAAAAAUUGUUGUUCAAAUUGUAGCUGAAGAUUCAAUUUUAUUUAUUAAAAUUAUAUCUAAAUUAAUCAUAGUUUCAAAACAAUUAUACUAACUUUAAAUAAAAGAUCAUUUUAACUCCCUUAUCUAAUUUUAAAUAAAAAAUUAUUCUUUUAUAUUAGAGAUAGUCUUACCAUUCCAUAUAUCUCAAUUGUGCAGAGCAAUUAAAUAAAAUACUUGUAAUAAUUGUAAUUAAGUUAAAAUAUAUAAAACUUAUCUAAAUUGUGGGCUAUUUUGAGUCGAAUAUCUAAUCUUUUAAAAAUUUUGAUUUUACUAUCGAAUCUUUCAGUUUAUUUGAUUUUAGUCAAUCAACAGUAAUUUGAAUUUAAAAUUUAAAGUAAUUCUUUAUUUUAAUAAAUAUAUAGUUAUAAUAAUUGUACUAAAUAUACAAAUUAAACUUGUAAAGAUAAACGAUGCAUGUAAAAUUUGAAGUAAGAGUAUUAUUAGCUGAUUCAAAUCAAACAAAUUGAAAGAUUGGAUAUUAAAUUAAAAUUUUAAAAAUGGUAGAUAAAUUUGAAAAUUUUGAGUAGUAGUGAGGCAUAUAUGAGCAAAACCCUCUUAUAAUUAUAUCAAACAAAAUCGGCCGUCCAUUAUAUCAUAUUUACUGAGGGUGGAAGAUCAUCCGACAUUAUUAGAUGAAAAAAUGAUUAAAACAAAACUAUAUAAAACUAUUUUUUAAUAAUAUCAAAUAAUAUUCUUUCUAUUUUUUUUUUUUCUGAUGCAUAAUCUACACAAUUCCAAAGAAUUGGAGCAAGCUCAGACAAUUGUUUUCCCCCUCAUCUAGGAACCAUCUAUUUAGGGCCUAUUUGUUUCACCGAAGGUGAAAUUCAAAUUAAAGUAAAUUUUUGAAUAAACUAGAGUUUUUAUAAAAUUAUUUCACUGUUUUGCUUGUAUAAUUAUGGAAUAAAAGUUUUUUUUAGCUCUAUUAUUUGUUUGAUAAAAAAUAAAUGACAUAAAAAUUAUAGGUACGAAACAUGUGUUAAUAUUUUACUAUUAUUACUAUUAUUAUUAUUAUUGUUUGCAAUAAAUUUCGUCUGAAGUGGACAAAAGUCAAUUAUACUAUUUUUGGAAGUUUGAGAUUGCAUUAAAUAUAAAAUUAUAGUAAAUCAAAUAACAAGAAUUGGCAUUUACAACUAAGGAUAGGAAAGGAGCUGAGCCGGCUCGUGUUCGACACAGUAUUCGGAUUGGUAAUUAAAUAAGUCGAACUUGAAUAGAAAAAGAAAAUCAAAAUUAAUUUCAAACCAAGAGUAUUAUUGGCUCGCUAGAAUUUGGCUUGAAAACCUAAAAUAUGUGCAUGUGUGUGUGUGUAAUAUGUAUUUUAAUUAUAUGGAUAUCUCUUUUACGCCAUUUGGCUAUUUUCUUCACAUAAUAAGACUGACCUACAAAAUCAAAUUAAAAAAUAUACCUCUCCCUCUCUAGGUCAUUCUUUCUCUUUUUAAUAAAAUUUUACCUCACUUCUCUCGUUGUUUAUGAUAUUUUGUUUCAUAUCAGUUAGAUCAAUCAGAUUUGGAAUUGUGAACAGCAAGAAAAGUGCUAUUCAUUUGAUAAAUCGAACGUGUGAAUCUUUUUUUGAGCAAGAAUAUAGUGAAAAAUUAGUAUAUUUAUACUAAAAUUUGAUUUUACUUAUGUAUGAUUGUGAUUGGAUAGUUCAAUUAAUUUCUUGUUUAUAUAAUUUAUUUAUUUUUUGAUAAUAUAGAUGAAAUAGAAUGGUACGAAUGUUGGAGACGGAAGGAAAACCAUGAGAUUAGAAUAAAAAAUAUAAAUAGAAUUGAACAUCCAUUACAAAGUUAGAUAUAUAAACUCAUAAAUUAUUUUUCUUAAUAUUAUACUAUAAUAUUUUAUAUAUUGAGUCCAACUAUCGAUAACACUAAGGGCUUUGUGUUAUCGAGUUUUCCACCGUCAGAUUUAAUUCUUUAAUUAUUUUUACCUAUUAGAUUAUAUUAUUCAACCAACUACCUACUCAACCUUAAGGGGCCCACAUCAUCCUAACAGCACAUUUCUCAAUCUAAGAACUAAAAAACUAAUAGCACCAAUAGCUUGGUGCUAUUGAUAGUAUUCCAAUCUAGUUCUUAUAUAUUUACUUUAUAUGUUGGACUAUCAGAUAUAUUUUUAUGUCAAAUUCUAAAUAAUAUUCUAUAAAAAUUAAACUUUAGGUUACACGAUAUUAAAAAUUCCAAGCGGCUUGUUUAGAAUUUGAGUUCACUCGACUUGAAAUUAGACUUACUCAAAUUAAUUUCAAGUCAAAUUUAUACCUGAAUUUAGAUUCAAAAUUAAUUUCAAGCAAAACUUAAGCUAAGAUAAACUCAUUGGUGGUAAGUUCUCAAUUCUCUUCCACCCCUAUUUAGAAUGGAAAAUAAAUUCAUCACUCUUUCUUUUUGGUGAAACAAAUGCCCCCCAACCUAGUCAAUGCUAUGCUGUGCUGACCAACUUUCCCCUAUACUUUCUAUCAGUCUUUAAGGCACCCAGUUGGGUCAUCAAACUGCUUGAAGCUCUACGCAGAGAUUUUCUCUGGAGUGGCCAAAGCAGCAUCUCAGGUAAGGGAUGCCUGGUUGCAUGGAAAAACGUCUGUCUGAGCAAACUGGUAGGUGGGUUAGGCAUUUUGGAUGUCGCAAACAUGAAUCGAGCAGUUUUAGUUAAAUGGUGGUGCAGAUUCCAAACAGAGCCCCACCUGCAGUGGAUCAAGAUUUUACGAGCGCUCUUUUACCGAAGGAGGAAGCCCCUAUGGGAGGGCAAUUGCUUCCGGCCACACUCACACUGGUGGAAAGGGGUUUUAACAACCAAGGAUAUUUUCAAAUGGGAAACCUGCUAUAAGCUGGGCAAUGGGUGUUCUAUUGACUUUUGGUUUGAUAGAUUGUGCGGGAAACCACGUACUCUCUAAACAUCCUUCCCGGAGGUGUAUGCGUUGCUGGAUAGCAAACCAAUCUUGGUUAGGGAUUGCUUUGGAGGAACAAAUUGGAGUUGGACUAGGAUCCUGAGCGAGGAGGCAACUCGUAUGCCUGGCCUGCGCCCCAUCCUCUUGGAACUCAAAGAGAGGGUUAGCAACUUCCAAAUAGGGAUUAGAGCGGACACGAUUGGGUGGAGAUGGGUUAGCAAUGAUAUAUUCUCCGUCAGAUCGACCUAUGGAAUGUUGAACGAUGGGGGUACAACUGUACAAGGGACAGACGUGCUAAAUUGAUCUGGAGACUACGUAUACCACUCAAGGUCAAAGUCUUCUGUUAAUUAGUCCUUAAGAAGAGAUCUCCUACAGCUGAGAACCUUGUGAAGAGAGGGUGGACCGGAGAUAAGACUUGCGUGUUGUGCAGGAUGUACGAUGAGUCGGUGGACCAUCUAUUCACGUAAUGCGUUUUUGUUAAGUUCUUAAUGGUAACAGGCAUUGAGGAUGUCCAGGCAGGGGAGUUGGGGGGCGAUGUGCACAUAGUCUGAGAUAGGUGGCAUGGGAGGAAUGGAGUACAGAAUAGGAGCAACGAACUAACCAGUUUGAUCGCAUGCUGAAGGAGCAUUUGGAAGGCUAGGAACAACAGUAUCUUCCGCGACAUUGAAUAGGACCCACUAAUAGCGGUGCAAAAACUCAAGCAUCUUAUUAUCUCUUGGAAAGACAUUCGGUAGUUUUUUUUUUUUUUUUUUUUUUUUUUUUUUNCACCCUUGUAACCUAAUUCAUCUUUCCAAUGAAAUGAAGCAGGUAGCGCGCUAUCUAUUCUGAAAAAAAAAAAGCCCCCCACCAAUCCGAUCCAAGCAGUGGCAUGUUUGUUUCAACGUAAGUAGACUUGGGGUGGAAGUGAACUUUGGAUUGAAGUGGAGUUGGGGUCAAAAUUAAUUCACUUCUGCUGUUUGUUUCUAACUGUGGAAGUGCAAUUCUACGAGUUCUGUUGUUUAUUUGGUAGGAAAUAGAUGACGUAAAAAAUGUAGCUCUCCAUCCCCGAUAUACUUACCUCCGAAGCGAUAUCAUUGUCUAUUUUGUAACUUAGUGAAUAAUAAAUUAUAAUAAAUAAGAAUUAAUAUAAUUAUAUAUGUAUAUAAUUAUAUAUAUAUAUAUAUAUAUAUAUAUAUAUGUAUAAUUAUAAAAUAAAAUUUUAAAAAAUUAUAUUAUUUGUUUGCAUAUAAAUUAUAAUAAUACAACAAAUAAAAUUCUAAAGUUAAAAAUUAUUAACACUUAAUAAAUUUAAUUUUGGGUGAGGGCGAAGUUAAUUAUCCUAUUUUGAAUGAACUCGAUUUUCGAUACAGCGUAAACAAUUUCUCCCCUCACCACUUCCCCCUCACUUUCACCCAAACAAACAUACCCUGUAGGUCAAACCACUGAGCUUCGACGAAGGAGCGCGCGCGGGGAAAUUCACUACCACUGCUUGGCAAAUUCAAGUACCACGCUCUCCCCGAUAAUUUGUUAUCAUUUAAUUACUGACACAUGGAUUAAAAAAUUCAUUUCGAUUUUUUCUUUUUCGUAAUCGACUCUCUCUCUCUCUCUCUCUCUCUCUCUCUCUCGAGUGGUUGUCCCCUUCAAUACCCGUUUUCCUCGUGCUGUUCAAAUUUCUCAAUUUUAAAUUCGCAUCUACUUUUUCUUUUUUUUUUAUUUUUCUCAUAAAAUGAAUACUUCCGCUUCGGAUUCCCCCCUCCCCCCCCCUCUCUCUCUCUCUCUCUCCCUAAUAAUGAUAUAAAAGAAAAUUAAGGUGCUCAAAAUCGUCGAAUUUUCGAUCCAUCGAAGAAGAGGAAGAGAUUAAGAAUACGUACGUGUAUACGUAUAUAUACGCGAUGUCGAAGGCCGCCGCCGUCGUCGAGCUCGACCUCCUCGGCCUCCACCCACGCCCCCCCGCCGCCGCCGCCGCCGGUCCACCCUCCUCUUUCCGCCGGAACAGCUCCUUCCGAGGUAUAUAUAAUCUCUCCCCCCCCUCUCUAUAUAUCUAGAUAUCUCUAGAACCUUCCAGAACCUUCUAGAACCCUCCGGAUCAUUUCCUUUACUGCUCGAUCCUCGCAGAGAUGCAGUGCGCGAUCGCGAGGAUGGAUCCCGCGGUGGUGAAGAGCGUGAUCGCGUCCGGAUCGCCGGGAUCGAACGCGGCGGCGACGGCGAUCUCCGGCGCGAGGUGAGCUUCGAUGCGCCUCGACGCGUUGCGAUCUAUGAACAAUAAUUAAUAACACUUCGUGUGUUUGUGUGUGUGUAUAUAUAUAUAUAUAUAUAGAGUGGAAGCAGGUGAUGAUACCGCGACUUCGCCAUUAACGAUCUUCUACAAUGGCACCGUGGGCGUCUUCGAGCUUACCCACGACAAGGUUUGUAUCAGCUUCGCACGUGCGAACAUGCAUAACAAUAAUCUGGCUAAAUUGCAGAGCACCCCCUAUCGUUGUACUAACUUCGUGACUACAACUUCUCUGAGGGGGAAAUGACUUUUAAUUGAUUCAUUAAUGAAACGAGAUGAAAAUAAGAUCUGAUUAAAAUUAUGGGAAAAAAAAAUUGACAGGCGAAAAAUAUCCUGAGAAUGGCAGCGGAAGCAAGUAAUGGAGGCAUUUCAGAAGCAUCGGAGGAAAAGAUGGUGUCAGGCGACAAUGAGGGUCUGAAUGGAGGUAAACAUAACAGCAACAAAAUGUGCAUAUAGUCUUUGUACUACUGUCGUAUUGCAACUCAGAGCCCGAUCCUUUCGCCUAAACAUAUGUUUUAGCUUUUUUUUUUUAAUUAAGAAAGAAAAUAAUUUUUUGAAUAAAUUAAGUCUUCUAUUUAAGCUGUUAAAAUAAAAAUUUUAUAUAUUAUAUAAUUAUUAAGAUGGUCGUUUUAGGAGAAAAUUAUGGAUAUUUCUUUGGUUAGAAAUAAAAGUGCAAUGCGUGAAAAACGUUGAAUUGGAAACUUCAAAGGCCGAGUUGUAAUAUUGGGAUAGUAUGGUGACUACCCAUACAUUUUGUCCACAAGAAAAUGGAGAAAUCUAAAAGGACAAGCCGAUUCAACUAUGUACUAUUUUUGAGAAAUUUUGAUUUCUAAAAAAUGUAAUUUGAAAUUAGUAUUUAAACUUUCAAAAUUUUGAUAUUAUAAAAUGAAAUUUCAAUUUAUUUAAUUUAAGUUUGUUUUUAUAUAUGGCUCUGAAAAUUUAUUUUUGCCUCACCUUAUUGCGCUGGUACAUUCUUGUACCAUGUCCUUGAAUGUUUUUAUAUCUUACUUUUUUUUUUCCAUGUACAAAUUGACUUAAAAUAGUCAGAUUAAACGCACUAGAUACAAUUAGCUAGGAAAUCACGCAAGUUGAAAACUUAGAUAAUAAAAGGGUUAAUUUCGUAUAGAUUCUUGCUAACAUAGUGGAUGAUAAAUAUAUUUCUACAAAAUUUGAUUUAAUAUGUUGUUUCUUCAAAAGUUUUAAUAUUUUCAAAUCUAUUUAUUUGCUUUAUUAUCGUUAUAGAACUAUUAUAUUUUCAAUUUUGGCAUCAUAAUUGUAUCCUUCCAAAAGUUAUAAUAAUAUAAAAUACGGGGAUAAAAACGUCAAAAAUUAACCAGAGUUAAGUAUUUAACUUAUGAAUAAAUUAAAAUUUUCUAACGGAUACUAACGGCAGAAACAUAUAUAUUUGAAAAUAUUAAAAUUUUUAUAGGAACAAUAUAUAAAAGCUGAAUUUUAUAAAAAAAUAUAUUUGUCAUUUACUAUAUUUGCAAAGAUCUGUAUGAAAUUAAUCUAUAGUAAAAUUAUUAUUUUUAAAGAUUUGAUAUUUAUUUUCAAAUUAAUAAUCCGAAAAUCGAGUUAAUUUUAUAAUUUUUUACUGGUUUUGAUUACACGUCAAGUUGCAUCUGAAAAUGAAAGGCGUUGGUUGGUUAGGAGAGCUGCCAAUCGCGAGGAGGAAGUCGCUGCAGCGAUUCCUGGAGAGGCGCAAGGAAAGGUUGGUUCUUCUACCCUCGAGUGUAUCUACCUUCUCUUCUUUUUAGUUCCUCAAAUUAUAAACCCAAAAAAAAUAAUAAUAAUAAAGUAAUUUAUCACGUGAACGUUGAUAAAAGUAUUGUAUGAACUUGGUAUAUUGCAUUAAUUCAAACUACGGACAAUUAAAAGCAAGAACUAUACUAUAUAUAUAUCCAUAGACAAAGUGUAUUAAAUCUACUCGUAUUUAUCACGUGAAUGUUGAAUAUAUAGCUAGGUAAAUUUAAUGUUGGUUUAGAAUUUCUAAAAAUAUGAUGUUCUGGUCAAAAAAAUACAAGGACUUGCAUAUUUAUUAAUGUCUUUUAUUAUUUCUUAUAUAUAUAUAUAUAUAUAUAUAUAUGCAUCCAGGUGCAUCCCCACACUUUGCAUUUAUCAACCAUCCAUGCAAUGAAGUUUAAGUCGCUGUUUUGUUGUAUAUAAUUAUAAAUACAUCGUAGUUAUAAUUAUCUGUAAAUUCAAAUUUGGAUAUUUAGUUUAAUGUAUACUUGCACUGUACAAAUUAACUGUUGCGCCAUGCGCAUAUAUAUUGCUAUAUAUUAACAACUUUUUAUAGUGUGCUUAGUUACCGUGCCGUGUAGCAAUGCUAUUCUUUAAUAAAAGAAGAUCCACUUUAAUUAGAGAAAAACGCAUGCAGAGCAUUAAUUACUUAAUUAAUUUAAUCUCUUUCGUUUGGGUUCUGAUCUAUGUUUAGUGGGGUGGGUGAUAAUAAAGAGGGACAAAGCACGUUUUCUACGGAACUAGCUAUGAAUAAAUAAUUAAUUAAGGUGGUCGGUUACGUAAACAUUUUUGAAUGCUUUUUGGAUUAUUCACAGUUGAAACUUGAAACUAAGGUGAAAACGACUUAAAGAAAUUUUAAAAAAAUGUGCAUAAUUAAUUAGGUCAAUUUAUUGUGCACGCCUUUUGAAAAUUGUUAUUUUAAAUUACUUUAUUCUCGAUGAUAGCCACGGAACUUUUCCUUCAAAAGAAAAAAAAAGCUUUUUGUGUUGAAAACAUAUAUUAACUUGAAUUACCUUUUUCUUUAGUAACAGGAUAAAGAAUUUGGCACGUGAUGAACAUUAAUUUAAUGGGUUGGGUGUCUUUGAAAUUAAGUACCUUUUUUUUGACCUUCUUACUUUUUUUUUUUUUUUUUUUUUUUUUUUUUUUUUUUUUUUUUUUUUUUUUUUAAUGCUUUGUUUCCCACCUGCCGACAAUAGUUGAACUACUCCUUUCUUUUUUUUCUUUUUUUUUUUUCUUUUUUUUUCUAGUUGUAUUUGUAGCAAAGGAGAAAUGAAGGAACAUGAAAAGAUAGAAAUUUGGGAAAACUUCAAAAACCCCCCCUGUGGUUUCAUACUUUUUCAUUUUAGUACCCUGUGGUUUGAAGUGUAUCAAGUUAGUACCCUGUGGUUUCUCACUUUAUCACUUUAGUACCCUGUGGUUUAAAAUGUAUCAAGCUAGUACCCUGUGGUUUUGCACUUUAUCACUUUAGUACCCUGUGGUUUCACACUUUAUCACUUUAGUAUCUUGUGAUUUAAAAAACUAUAGGGUACUAACUUGAUACAAAAUUAAAACCACAGGGUACUAAAGUGAUAAAGUGCAAAACCACAGAGUACUAACUUGAUACACUUUAAACCACAGGGUACUUAAGUGAUAAAGUGAGAAACCACGGGGUACUAACUUGAUACAUUUUAAACCACAGGGUACUAAAGUGAAAAAGUGUGAAACCACAAGGGGGGUUUUUGAAGUUUUCCCUAGAAAUUUUGACCCUUUAGUUAAUUAUUUUCAUCUGAGUUUCUUUAAUAAGGUUGUUGGAAUUAUAUUAUGUCCUCUUACAAAGAUUUGGAUAAGAGAAUAGAAAUAGAAUAGUAAUUUACAUUCACAAAUUUACUAAUUAGUACAGUUGGUUAGUAUUUCAGUCACUGACGAAAAAAUUUAAAAGAAAUUAAGAAAAAAGAAUAAGAGUCUUUUCUAUCUCUCUCAGUGUUCAUUAAAUUUAGGGUAAACUUCAGAUACCACUCAUAUGGUUUCACAUUUUCUAGCUUUAAUAUCAUAUGGUUUAAAGUGUAUCAAGUUAGUGUCCUGUGGUUUUAUUUUUAUCUUUUCGUCAGUUUUUUCGUUAAUAUUUUGUUAAAUUAUAUACAAAAAAUUUUAGAUACUCCACCUAAAUUUAUUGAAUAUUCACUUUAGUACCCUUUAGUUUUGAUGUAUCAAGAGGAACGGCAGAGAGGAGGAAGAAGUUAUAUUCAACAUAUUUUAUGGGUAAUAAUUUCUACUUUAUUAUGAACAACUUCUACUUCAUAAUAUAUAGGGAAAACUUCAAAUACCCUCUUUGUACUUUCAUUUUUUCUCACUUUAGAAUCUUGUGGUUUAAAGUGUAUCAAGUUAGGACCCUGUGGUUUUGUACUUUUUUAUUUUAGUACCCUGUGGUUUAAAGUGUAUCAAGUUAGUACCCUGUGGUUUCGCACUUUCUCACUUUAGUACCCUGUAAUUUCGCACUUCUCACUUUAGUACCCUGUAGUUUAAAAACCACAGGGUACUAACUUGAUACAAAAAUAAAACCACAGAGUACUAACUUGAUAUAAAAAUAAAACCACAGGGUAUUAACUUGAUACAAAAAUAAAACCACAGAGUACUAAGAAGGUUAUUCAUUUAUGACCGUUCAUUUUUCUAACUCUUCGAUGAACUUGAUAAUAAUUUUUAAAUAUUACAAAAUUUGGUUUCUAAAUAUUUCUAAUUGUGUAGAUCAAUUUCAACGGUGCCGAUUAUUAAUUUGAAGUUUCGAUCAUUCAAAACGGCUUGAUAGGACAAUGUUCUCAAUCCUAUCAAUAGGAUAGUAGAUGGACUCUAUAUACAUAUUGUUAAUAUCUCAUAACAAAUUGUGAAAAACAUACUAGAACCUGUAGCUAGAGUAUCUAUCAACAAAGGCUUAAUUUUGCUUAGUUUAGCUUCAUAUCAUGCAAAGAAUUUAUACAUAUAUAGAGAGAGAGAGAGUUUAGCUUCAUAUCAUGCAAAGAAUAUAUAUAUAUAUUUUCCACUAAAUGCUUAAUCAUUAUUUCUUAUUCAGGUUGCCCACCUAAAAACAAUCAUGUGUUUCUUACGCAGGUUGACCACCUAAACAAUCAUGUGUCCCUGGGAAAGCCAUGUUGAGUGCCCCUUCGUUCUUCUAAGAUCAUACUACGAAGGAUACUAAUUAGUUUAAUUCACUCUCAGCUAAUAUGUAAUUAAUAUUACUUUAGUUUGUUGUUAAUUUGUGUAAAAAAUAUAUCCAAAAUAUCCAACGGGUCACUCGCAUUUUGGUUAUCCUCCGUGAAAAAGUUCAUUAGAGCUAAAGUGUGUGUAUUUCUUGCGAACAUUUUAUGCAAUUAAACAGUUUUUUUUUUUACCACAAUUCAUGUCGAUGUAUACUGUGGAGCUCGUGUCCGAGGGACCCUUCAUCCAAUGCAGGAUUUUUGGGCUGUUACAAACUCUCUUCGUUUAGAUCCUUACAUCUUUAUAUAGGUUUGAACCCUCACAUUUUUGACUAGUAUUCGGAUGCUAAUUAUAACGAUUCAAUCCACUAUCAAUAAUAACUCGUUGAGUCCAAGUCAACGGUUCAAAAUAUUUAAAUUCAGUUCUUAAUAUUACGAGAGUACGUGACCUCUUGCAUUUCUAAUUAAAAUUCUUUUUUAUUCUGACAUGCAUAAGUAUCGUUUGGUUCGAGAAUAAAUUUUUUUUGGUUAUUCCUGGGAUAGGUACAACUUUGGAUAUAAGCGGGAAUAAGAUCAAUUUUACGUUUGGAUGAAAAAUGGGUUAUUUUCAAGAAUAAAAAAAAUAGUGUUUGGAUAGUUAGAUAGGAAUAAUAGGAAUAAAAGUGAUUAUAGUAGUUAAAUAAUAAUAUUAUAUAUAAUUAAUUAACAUCAAAAUAUUAAAUAAAUGAUAUUUAAAAAAUUAAUUAACUAAUUUAUCAUGAAUAUUAUUAGAUAAUCAUAAAUAUUAAUUAAUAAAUUAAUUAUGAGAUUAAUUAAUCAUUAAUCAAUUAACCAUGAGCACCGUUAAUUAAUAGAUUAUCUAAUUAUAAAUAAUUUGACGAGUUAACAAAUUAAGCUAAUAAAUUAAUAUAUUAGUAAAUUGCUUAUUUAUUUAUUUAAUUAGGUAAUUAGUUAUAUUGGUCAAAAUAUUAAUUUAUUAAUCAAUAAAGAUAUUAGUUAUUACAUAAACACACUAAUAAAUAAUUAUUAAUUUAGCUAAUAUUUUAUUAUUAAAUUAGUUAAUUAUUAAUUUAGCUAAUUAAUUAAUAAAAUAAUAUAUAAUAUAUUAGUUAAUAAUAUUUUGUUAUUAAAUUAGUAGAGGUAUAAACAUAAGAAAUUGUUAUUCCACCAAAAAGAUAGAACAAUAAUUUCCCCCACUAAACGGGUUAUUCUAAAAUAACCCAUUAAGAGGGGAUUAAAUAAACUCAUUUCCUCUUUUAGUGUUUGGAUGAAUUAGAGAGAUAAAAUGCUCUAUUUCUACAUUAUCUCCCAACCAAACACUUUCUUAGAGAGUUUGUUUGGCUCAUCUCGUAAUGCUUUGUACUAUCGGACUUUCCAAAAGUAUCACCAAAUAGCGAGUUGUCACACCCACCGUAGGGCCCCAAGUCUAGAUUACACCAUUUGUUUCAAGUCAAUUAUUGAAACUUGAAAUUAUUCCACAACAGAUAUCGUGGUGCGCGCGUACAAUAUGUAUAGUUCAUGCAUAGAAAUUUCUUACUCACGAAGCCAACCUGCCACACUUUUACACAGAAUAAUUUCAUUACAAUUUGUCGGAUGUCGACGGCUGCGAAGCAUCCCACGAUAAGUAUGCGACGAAUAUAUUGUCCAAUGUGCAGAUUUUUUUUAACUCUAAUUCUGUAGACAAAUUAUAGUUGAUGAACUUAUUGAGCACCGUUUGGAAAAUUACUGCCGAAAAAUAAAACUUUAAUUUAAUAAUUUAGAAUUCAAAAUAAUAAAGAAAUGGUGUCGUGGUGUAGUUGGUUAUCACGUCAGUCUAACACACUGAAGGUCUCCGGUUCGAGUCCGGGCGACGCCAGUCUGCACUUUUUUUCUUUUAGUGAAAAGCUGGUAAAUUUUUUUUUAGAAAUGUUUGAUGGAAAACCAUUUACACGACACAGAUCUAUGUUUUAGUAAAAAAAUGGUUUUUCUAGGGAUUUUUUUAUUUUUUUUUUACCUCAUGAGAUCUGGGAAGAAAUUUUUUUUAUACUACACAGAUCUAUGUUUUAGUGAAAAACUGGUUUUUCUAGACUUUUUUUUUUUUUUUUACUUCAUGAAAUUUGGAAAUAAAAUUCUUUUACACUACACCGGAUCUAUGUUUUAGUGAAAAACUGGUUUUUCUAAGAAUCAGACGAACGGAAAAUACUUUUCUAGCCAAAAAAUUAUUUUUUUUUGAAAUAUUUUAUGGAAAACCGAACAUUCUCUUAGCUACCGUUUGGUUCGGGGUUAAGGAAAAAUUAGUUAUUCCAGGGAUAGGGUUAAGUUCAAGAUUAAGGUGGGGUUAGAGUAUUUUUGUGUUUGGUUGGGAGUUGGAGUUAGUCCAGGAUAGUGAAAAAUAGUGCUUGGUUGGAAUAGGUGGGAUAAGAAGGAUAGUGGGUUAUUAUGAAUAGAAAAUAGUAUUUGGUUUGGGUUAAGUGGGGUUAGCUAACCCGGGAUAGCCCAUUUGAGGUGGGGUUAGCUAACCCCACCUAUUUUUGGGGUGUUUGGGAAUAAUAUGGGGGUUAAGGGGUUAUUCCACCCCUUAACCCCCAACCAAACAAAGGCUUAGGUAGUAAAUAUACAGAAAACAUAUAUCCUACUUGGAAAAAAAUGUAUGUGUAUAAAUUUUGGUCUAUAAUCCAAACAAAUGUUUUAAUCAGGGGCCAAAUUUCCUUUCUUUGCCAGGUAGUAACAAUGAACAUUCAUUUAUUCAGACGAAAAAAAUGAAAAAAAAAAUCACAGCCCAGUACGGCUAGAGUAGGCCCGAAACAUCGGAAGUGUUUGGGCUUUGGUAGUCCCAAUUGGGCUGAGUUUGGGCCGUACCUAUUAUGGCCUGGACACUUAUUUUCUGACCAGAUCCAGGCUAAUCUAAUUCGUCGUCUCCUUACUUUAAGAUUUGUGUGUCGCACGUGAUGAUCUUGUUAUAUUUUAAGCUUUGUCCAAGCCUUGCGUGUUUUGGCUAAAUAGUUUCUCGACUCGCAUACAAAAAUUUACAUUUCUUUAGUUACUACAAGAAAUUAUGAUGCUGUUUUCAACCCAGAAGAGCCCAUAAAAGAUUGUAGUUCGAAUUUCCGGCGAGAAGAUAAAAGAAUGAAUAGAAAAGAAAAUAUGCCUAUGCCUUUCUUUUAAACUGGCCUCUUUUCCAACUAACCCCUUUUCUAUAUCUCCGUCCCAUGUCAGUGGGGGGCAGUCUAGUUUGAGGAGAUUGCGAAAGUAUUCACGAUCUCACUUUCAGAGUUGUGGAUUCUUUGCAAGAUUGAGGUCUGGCGAGGCCAGUGAUGUUAUACCAUUUUGAGAAUUGGUGUUGUGAUUGUUGGCUUAGAUGAGCAAGCAUACUACCCUGUUGCAGGAGGUCAAGUGGGUUGAGUCACGUUCAAAAUGGCAUGAGGCCGGAUUAGGCCGAGUCACAGUCGAGACCCGUGGGCGCUAUAUCUAUACAUUUUAAGUGAAUUGGUUGUGUAUUUCUAACAGCUCGAGCUUUUAGGAUUAAUGGUUAGCACUAACAAUUCGACAAAUAGUAUCAGAGCCAUAGGUCACGCGUUCGAUUCCCGCAUACUACGAAAUGGUGGGAGGCCAAGUGGGCCGAAUAACUUUCGAAAUAGCAUGAGGCUGGGUUGGGCCAAGUCAUGUUCGAUCCGAUAGUGAUAAUUGUAUAUUUACAAUAUUAUUAUAGUAUAAAGUUAUUAUUUUUGAUAUCUGUUGUUAUUAGAUUUCUAGUAAACUUCUUUGAGCAAGAUUUUGUUGACGGUUCGUGUAUAAGGUGUAAUCUGUUGACGUAACCAAAGACUUCCGUUGUAAUCCGGACGUGACAGAUUAAGUUGCUCACAGAAGCUCUAAUUGCAAUUCCAUACAAGGAUCUAGGUAAUAUCUUGGGCCAUAAAUGAUUUGGGGCCAAAAAUAGUUUCUUUACAAGUUCGUCGAUCGGGCCGAGCUCAAAUUUGUAUUCUUGUAUGCUGGCCGGGGAGGCCCGCCACGGUGAGAUGAGAAUUACUUCUGUCUCUAUUGCUAUAUGAUUCAACCUGGUCCCUGAUCCUUGUCUCACUAUAGGAAAUCUCACCGUAGAAAAUUUCGUGCGAGCCUAAGUUUAGGCCUCCGACUUGAUUAUAUCUUUUGCGCUCGUGGCCAAUAACACCAACUCUUAAAUCGACAUUCAGUGUAUAAUACGAAGGCCUCAGUUGCUGCUCUCACGUAGCUUAGUCUAUUUUUCUUAAUAAAUGAAGCAUGUAUGUAAAAUUCGCUACCUUACUGUCUCUCAAAAAUGUUUAGUAUAAUGCGUCUCACCAAAACACCCAGAUCUGAGCUAUCAGAUAGCAUUUAAUCUUGCUUUGAAUUCACUUAUUAGAGUUCUAUUUGACAUCUCAGAGCAGGGUGUCUUAGUGAGGCACUUUUAGCUGAUUCUUUUCUUCUUCUUCUUCUUUUUUUUUUUUUUUCAAACUACACUUAUUUCAAAUUUUACUUACCUUUUUCCACACUUCCUUGUCCAUUUACUCUCUCUCUCUCUCUCUCUCUCUCUAACAUAUAUAUAUAUGUAUAAUUUUUAUUAAUCUUAAAACAGAUAAUGUUGUAGUUAUCACAAGAGGUCCCAGGAGUGAUACCCUUCAUCACCUAAAUGUUCCUCAGAUGUUAAACCUGAGCACAUGACUUGCUUGUUCUCUACUAAUUUUAACUUUAGCCAAUUUUGGACCAUUAAUGGGCCAAGCACUUCUCUGAAAACAAUGAAGCCGACUGCAAAAUGAGCAGGGACAUGAAUUCAUGCAGUCCAAACCAAUGACCACUACCCUACAAAAGCAGUAGUCUUGUUUCCUCAUCUAAAAACAUUUCUAUGAAUGGCCAAUUCCAUCCUUCAGCCGUUCUUACUAUAACAGCAUGUGUGUCUGUGUGUAAAGAGUUAACCCUGAAUGAGCUUAUCAUCUUUGCUAAAUCAUUGAUUCGCUUUUUUUUUCUAAACUCUGGAAGUAGUAGUCAGACGUUUUGAUGAUGGAUAUGGUUUGCGCUUCUGGCUUUGAUUGGCGGUCGGAAGCAAAAACAACCUUUUCAAUCCGGAAAAGUCAGGAGAUUAUUUCCUAUUUUUGACUAUUUUGUUAGUUUAUGAGAUUUUGGUGUAUUAAGAUUAGGGUUUUUUAAGAAAGUCAAUCAGUACGCAUACUUGAGAGAGAGAAAGCCUACAUACUUCAUUCAUUAAAUAAUGAGUUGGGCUACAAAACUUAGGCAGCUGGGCCUCUCAAAAAAUGUGAAGGCACACAACAAGCAUGCAAAACAAGAAAGUUUUUACUUUUCUAUUCAUAGACUAGUGGCCGAACCAAGUAAAUCUAUGGUUGUAUCUUCUCUAGACUCCUUUAUUCACAUUAAUAUAAAGUCAACUUCAUUUUAUGUACAUUUUUCAAUACAGGAUUUGCUGUAACAAUAUUUUUUACAUAAGUUCUAACUGGCUACACCAACCAGCUCCUUAUCUGGAACAAAAGGCAUUACCUGCACUUCCCACACAUGCAUGGUCCCACAAUUGGGUGAAGUGUCAGAGGGAGCAGCUUUGAGCACCACAUACCCCACCAAAAAAGGCUUCAUACAUAUCAUGGGCCAUUGUGUGUGUUUAUGUGCCAAGUGCGGUGUAAGAUGAGGCCAUCCACAGCAGCAUUACUAGCUCUCAAACUAUUGUACACAAUAGUGAUGGGAUGGGAAGAACCCCCUACAACUGCUUAUACAACUCCCACAGUAAUUCUCCUGUUCUACUAAUUUUUUAUAUUAUUUUUUUUAAGCAGAUAUAAUAUUCACACUGCUGCUGCUGCUGCUGCAGCAACUUGCCAAAGCCCUUUUCAUCUUUUCUGUCCACAAACAUCUCUCUCACAUUAAAUUGCUCUGUUGGACUUUUUAAGUAAUCCAGAGGUUCAAGGAAGUGCUUUACAGCUCUAUGUACAAUCAUCUUGCUAUGCUAUUAGUGCAAUAAAUGAGCAAGGAUGCAUGCAUAAUGACAAGCUUAUGUGUAAUGUACCUGUUAAGAAUAACUGUAUCCAUUAUCUGUCCGGAUAUUUGCAGAAAGAUAAGGAGUCCUUAUCCAAGGCUAAGAUAAAAGUUUUCCUGAUCAAAAGUCCAUUGAGUGGUACGCAUGACUUUUCAGUGUCAACUCAUAGUUUCUUUCCUUUCCCCCUUUUGUGAAAGACUCCUUUGUCUUGCUUACCAUGCAUAUUCCAGUUUAAUUACAAAAUAUGACCUUUUCUUUUCUUUUGUUUAUUUCUCAUGACUUUGUACGUUUUCUUUAGUUUCUUUGUUGAGAGAGUAAGACAAAGGGAAUCAAGUACACAAUAGUGAAACAUCAUUCUCUAGUUGUUCCACGUAGCAUGCAUCAAAGCGAGCUAGGCACUCUGAAUUCAUAUUUCACCAGGCUCAUCUUCUCAGUAUUUAAGGUAAUAACUCGACCUUAAUUAUUAGUUCACCCGCACGAAGUACACUACUCUCGACCUUACUUCUGAUUCGACUUUGACCUACGUACCUCUACGUUAAUCUAAAGCAUUUUCUAGCUAGCUAGGUUGCCUACGAUCUGUUUCAAAUUCUUAGAAUGUAGCACUAAAAAUAAAACAUAAAAACGAAAGACUACUCCGACCUGAAGUACUACUCAUUCUAUAAGUGAUUUAAUUUCCGCAUAAUCUAGGCAUGUUUUGCCCUAUAGUUCAAAUUCCGUGUACAUCCUGAGCCAACAAAAAGUCUAGCUAUACUCAACCAUCUUCAAGAUUUAUUGAUGGAGAGUUGUUUUUAUCUGCUAAGAGAGAGAGAGAGAGAGAGAGAGAGAGAGAGAGAGAGAGAGGAAAACAUGUGGGGAUGUAUAGGCCACAAGUAUCAUAUGGACAGCACAUGCAUGCCCAGGAGGGAUAAAGACAACAUCAUUUAACACACUAUAGAGAGUGUGGAGAUCCCGGCCCCCAACCUCUUCCUCCUACAUAUACAUGCCAUAGUACAUCAAUGUAUUAUCAACCCCCCAACCCCAACCCCAACCCCAACCCCACACCUUGUAAAUUAGUUUACUCCCCACUAGACAUUAGACAAUGCCACACCCUACCCCAUGCAGCCAUGCUUCUUCCUCGGCCGGGUGGGCCUUCUUGGGCCCCACCGCCACGUCCAGACUGAUCUAGACCUACCUACGUACCCUCUCCCGGCCCUCUCGUUGAUCUUCGUACGUAUACGUAGGACCAGAAAACUUUCAAAAGUACCCUUUGUGUGUGUAUAUAUAUAUAUAAAUAUGUCGAGAUAAAUAUAGCGACGUUUUAAUAUAGUGUCGAAACAUUUUUAACAGCGUUCGACAAAAAUAUGCUUAUUAGCGACGCUUAAUCAUAGUGUUGAUACAUGUCAAAUAUUGAAGAUGCUAAAAUAGAGUGUCGUGUAAAAGAUAUCGUCUGAAAUAUAUUUUAUUGUAGUGAGUAAAUAUAUAUGUAAAAGGAAAAGGUUUAUUUCAACAUAUUAAUACUGACUCUUAAGAGUCAUUGUUAACAAUGUUGUUAUGAUCACCUUGAACACUUUAUUGUCGACCAUGUAAAUCAGUACUAAAAUGAAACUUUAACAUGGUAAUUUAUGCAUAAAUAUAUUUCUCCUUUAUAUUUAACUUCCUUUGUUCUUAAUAUAUAUAUAUAUAUAUAUAUAGUCCGGCUAUAGUGCUUGUAAAAUCACCAAGUAUUUGGUGCUCGUAGGUUUUUAGCCGUUAGAUUAGCACUGUUGACAAUUUACACCCGUUAGAUUAUACUAUUUAACCGACCACCCACUCAACUCUAGGGGUCCAUAUCAUCCUAACCACAUAUUUUUUAAUCCAAAGCCUGAAAAAUUUAUAAGUACCAAUGUCUUGAUACUUUCAAAAACAUAGAAGCUUAAUUUUAUAUAUAUAUAUAUAUAUAUAUAUAUAUANUUAUAUUUAGCGGCAUUCACUAAUUUAUGCUGCUAAUUUAUCCUAUUUUGCAACAAUAAUAGUAAAUUGGUGCUAAAUAAUUAAAUCUAGUAGCAAUUAUCAAGUAAUCCUGCUAAAUAUAUUAAUUGACAUGAUUUAAGUAAAUGUUGUGGAACAAAGAUUGCGGCAUUUAGUAAUAAAUGCUGCUACUUUAUUACAUUUAUUGUCAUUUUUUAUAAAAUGCUGGAAACUUUAACGGCAUUCACUAAUUUAUGCUGCUAAUUUAUUCUAUUUUGCAACAUUAAUAGUAAAUUGUUGUUAAAUUGUUAAAUCUAGCGGCACUAAUGCUGUUAAAUAUAUUAAUUAGCGUAAUUUAAAUAAAUGAUGCGGAGUAAAUACCGCUAAAUCAUGAAUUUGUUGUACUGACCAUUUUGUAGAAACUAGCGCGAGCGGGGUGAUCAAGGAUCGCUGCAAGGGCAUAGCGUCCUAGGUAAUGGACCUCCGUGCAUUAGUUGUACCCUUUAUUUUCAUCUUUUGUAUUUGAUGAAAAGAACUUAUAAAGAGGAAUUGAGUUCCUAUGCUUUUAAAAGUACCAAGUUAUUGGUGCCUGUAGAUUUUUAGCUAUUGGAUUAAAGAUAUGCGGUUAAGAUGAUGCGGGCCCCCUAGGGUUUAGUGGGUGGUUGGUUGAAUAGUAUAAUCUAAUUGUUGAAAAUGAUCUGAGGAGUAGAUCUAACAGUAAAAAACUUACAAGCACCAAGUGCUUGGUGCUUUUACAAUCACCAUAGCUGGACUAUAUAUAUAUAUAUAUAUAUAUAUAUAUAUAUAUAUAAUUAGGCUGGUAUACUAUCAAUAAUACCAAACUAUUUGUGCUAUUAGGUUUUUAGCCUUUGGAUUGAAAAAUGUGCAGUUAGGAUAAUGCGGGCCUCCUAAGGUUGAGUGGAAGGUUGGUUGAAUAAUAUAAUCUAACGGGUAUAAAUAAUCAAAGAGUUAAAUGCAACGGUGAAAAACUCGAUAGUAUCAAACACUUGUUGCUAUCGAUAGUAUCCCAACCGGACUUAGAGAGAAUUAGACUAGAAUACUAUCAAUAGCACCAAGCUAUUGGUGUUUUUGAUUUUUUAGCCCUUAGAUUGAGAAAUUGGUGGUUAGGAUGAUGUGGGCCUCCUAGGGUUGAGUGAGUGGUUGGUUGAAUAGUAUAAUCUAACGGGUAAAAAUAUUCAAAGGGUUAAAUCUAACGGUAGAAAACUUGAUAGUACCAAAUCCUUGGUACUAUCGAUAGUAUCCCAGCCGGACUCUCUCUCUCUCUCUAUAUAUAUAUAAGCACAGCAAUACAACAAGUAAACUAAUUACCUGGUGCACAGCAAUACAACAAGUAAACUAAUUACCUGGUGGUCGAUCGAUGAUCGAUUGUGAAAUCUCGACCGGUACUAGUUUUCUUUGACCAGAUUAAUUAGGCUCUUGCCGAUACAUGAUCUAUCAAGCUUCUUGCUCUUAUAUGUUUCACGUGGCCCCAUCUACAUGAUUAGCAAUUAACGUAGUUGUUGGUGUAACGCCCCCAAUAGUCCCACAUCGGAUGGGAUAUUGAUUCCGAUCAGUUUAUAUGAGGCUUACACGUUAAUAGUAAUAAUUGGGCUUAAGCAUUUUGGGCCGGUGGUUUCGGCCCAACGAGUUAUUGUUGCUAGCGGGUUGGGUCGUUGCAAUUGGUAUCAGAGCCGAAUACCAGCCGAAAGUGUGAGAACUAAGUGCUAUGCGGGACAAAGUGUUACACCAACGGAUUUGGUGGGAGCCACCUCUUGAACCCGUAGGAGCCACCUCUAGAAUCUCACAUCGCCUGAUAAUAGUCCUGGUUUGUCUGUCAGUGAUCUGGUUUGGACCCGACGAGGACGUCAGGGUAAUAAUAACUGGGUUUAAGCAUUUUGGGCCGGUGGUUGGGCCCAACGAGUUAUUGUUGCUAGCGGAUCGGGUCGUUGCAGUUGCAGAAUUGAACUCUUCUUUGCGGCUUAGACCGAACGCAAACACACAUGUUUGAGUCCGUGUCUUUGAAGAAAGAUCGAGGAAAAUCGCACGAGCUUGUCGAAAUUAAACAAUGAAAGUUACAUAUCAUGAAAAGAAGCAUGUGGAUAAGAGAGAGGAAUUAAUAAAAACAAUAGUAUUGGAUCGAAUUAAUGACAAGCCAUUAUUCACACAAGUUUCUCGAUGUCGGAUAUCUUAUCAACAAUGCUUUCCGUUUCAAGCCAUGAUUUCUCAUAGGAAAGGUACUGAUAUAUCUUGCCUCACUAAGGAGGUUCAUGCAUGUAAUGAUCAUGAUCAUAUAUAUAUAUAUAUAUAUAUAUAUAUAUAUAUAUAGGCUACUAUAUAUACUAUCUAUAGUACCGGAGUUUCGAUACUAUAGUCUUGUUUUCGAUUUUAGGGUGUUUAAAUUAACGAUCCACACCGUUAAAUAUGAUUUAGGGUAUAUAAAUUUCUUAGAAAUAAAAUUCUAGUUUUUUUCGACAUCGUUUACUUAGUAAAUAAAUUAUGUCAAAAUGGACGGUAUAAAUUGAAUUAUCUUUAAAAUUUGAGUUUAGGACUUUUAAAUUCAAAAUCAAGAAUGUUAACCUUAAUCUAGAUAGUUUAAAGUAUUUUCAAUCAAAAAUUGAAAAAAAUUAGAUUCUUCUACACCGUUAAACACCAAACUCGCCAUAGUAGCCAUUGAAAAUUGACAAUUUUUAAAUGGUUUGAUCAUAAAGUAAACUAUGUCGAAAAAAUAUAAAAUUUUAUUUCUAAAAACUUUAAAUACCCUAGAUCAGUUUUAACGGUGUGGAUCGUUGAUUUGAAUGCCAUAAGAUCGAAAACGAGACUAUAGUACCAGAGCCCCGGUACUAUAGAUAGUAUAGGAGACUAGCUCUAUAUAUAUAUAUAUAUAAUAUAUAUAAUAUGAUAUAAUACAUAUAGAAGAGAGAGAGAGAGAGAAAGAGAGAGAAGGCAGAGCUACUGUCUAUUAGGAGUACAGCAGCCCUGUGUCCGUAACUUCUAGCCACACCAUCAAGUUUGAUGGGUGAUUAGAUAAAAGGGAAGGGUAUUGUAAGAGAAAUUCAGAGAGAGAAAAUUGUACACACCUCAUCCGUCCAAUUUCUUUCCCCUCUCAUUCGUAAACCCCAUCAAUCUGAUGGGGUGUUGAUAGGUGGUUAGAAGUUAGAGAUACAAAAGCUGGUAUACUCCGUAAUAGCACAGUAAGCCCUCUAUAUAUUAUAUAGUAUAUAUAUAUUAUAUAUUAUAUAUUGUGUUGGGCUACUAUACUCUUAUGACAGUAUAGAUACCUUACUCAUCAAUUUUUAACGUUGAUUGGAUCGGGCAUGUGUGGUUAGGAUGAGUGGUGUCCGCACUUAGAAUGAUAGUGGUCCCCUAGGGUUAGUGGGUGGGUUUGAAUAGUCAUGAUUUAACGGAUGAAAUGAUCAGGAAUAAAUCUAAGGGCCAAAAAACUUAUGAGUAUAAAGGGCAACCAAUACUCAUAAAAUUAUAGUAGCUCGACUCAUAUAUUAUAUAUUAUAUAGUAUAAUAAUAUAUAUAUAUAUAAUUAUAUAUAUAUAUACGAUAUAUAUAUAUAUAGUAUAUACUAAUAUAUAUAUAUAUAUAUAUAUGACUGGGAUACUAUCGAUAGCACAAGGCCUUGGUGCUAUCGAGUUUUCUAUCGUUAGAUUUAACUCUUGAUUAUUUUUACCCGUUAGAUUAUACUAUUCAACCAACCACCCACUCAACCCUAGAGGGUCCAAAUCAUCCUAACCGCACAUUUUUCAAUCCAAGAGCUAAAAAAUUAAUAGCACAAAUGGCUUGGUGCUAUUAAUAGUAUUCUAGCAUAGUUCUAUAUAUAUAUAUACACACACACACACACGGUUGGGAUGAUUGCGAUCGCUCUAGGGUUGAGUGGUCCCCACAUGAUAAUAAUAUUAAUUCAAAUAUUAGAAAUGAUUAAAGAAAUGCUGAUCUAAGGCCAAAAAAUCAUAAACACUAAAUUCUCUAUACUUUCAAUAGCAUAGUAGCUUUCUCUCUCUCUCUAUAUGUACAAACACAACAUGUUUGCAAAAAGCUUGCAUGGUAAAGAUAGAUAUAUAUGUUUUGUGUAUGUAGUGCUAUGAUACAUACGGUGCCAAUGAUUGAUGAGUGACGCAAAUGCUAAAGCUAUGUGCAAGAGAUCAUAAACUAGAUAAAGGUUGAGAUAGUUAUAAAAAAAAUUAUUUUUUGGAAAAACGUGACUUAACUAAGUUGGCACCAAAAUUCAUUUGAGUUCGGCAAAUUUUACAAUAGACGUAAAAAAAUUUUAAACAGUCAUAAUUGUUUACUCGAAUAUCUAUUUUCAGCAUGGAACCCUAAUUCAAAAAAUACUUUUCGAGAUUUACGCUCUUAUUGCUAAGCCAUACUGGCCAAGUUCGGAGCUUAAAUUCAACUAUUUAGACUUUCAUUUUUGUAUUUUUAGAUUAUUUUCGAAAAGUUUUAUUUUGUAUUUUGAGUCCAAUUAUUAUAUUAUUUUUUAUUAGUUUAGGUUUAGAGAUAUAUAGAAUUUAUAAUCUUCAAUUACAGUAGAAUUGAGAUAUCAACCCUAUAUAUAUACAAGGCGUUUGGUAAAUAUAAUUAGAUUUUAUAAUUGAUUGAAAUAUUAUUCUAUUGUCGAUGAAUUGUAAUCUUUUUGUCUCUCUUUUUCAGUUCUUGCGCUUCUUCCUUCUCUACAUGGCUUAGGCCUACGUCACCUACUGAACUGAUGCUUCAGUUUACCUCUCGCAAUUUUACGUUUGUUUUGCGCAAUUGUAUUCGAUCAAGAUUCCUCAUACAAGACCAAACAAUUAAGUGGAUAUUGGAUCAAUCUAGUGCCUGAAAUCUCAAUCGACUGACUAAACAAGUAGAGGACCCACACUUUUUUCAAUGAUCUCGUUUCUUUUCUAUGAGUUUAUUUUAGACUAAAUUAUAGAAAAUCUUUCUGUCAAAAUUCGAUUUUUUACUUUUUCCUCCUAUUAUUUAAAAACCUACACUUUGUCUUUUUGUAAAAUGAAAAAUGUGCACUUCACAUCCUACCGUUAGUAAUUCGUUAGGGUUCCGUUACAAAAUAUUUUUUUAUACCAAAAAUACUCCUCCGCCCUCUUCUCUGUUGCUUCGCCUUCCUCCGCCUCGCCGCUUCGCCGUCACCUCGCUGCCUCCCCCUCCUCUAUUUCCUCGCCCUCGCCUACAUCUCCGUCUGCGCUCACAAACACCCCUUCACCCUCCUCCGCUGCCUCGCCUUCGCCCUCGUUGCCUUUACCUACCUCUCCAUCCACGCCCACCUCGAUCUCCUCCCUACUGUCGCCGAAAUCGAGAGGCAGCGAAGGUGUAGGAGAAGAAGGGAAGCAGGUGGAGAAGAAAAUAGAGAGAAACAGCAGCCGAUCGAGGCAUGAAUCGCGACCGAUCAAGACGGCGAUUGAAGAAGAUAAGGGAAGAGACGAAAAUGGUGAGGGGCAAAAUGAUCAUUUUAUCAUCACAGUACACACCGUACUCCCUGUGAACAUUUUUUAUUUUACAACGGAGCAAAGUGUAGGUUUUUAAAUGACAGGAAGAAAGUAAAAAAUUAGAUUUUGACAGAAAAAUUUUAUAUAAUUUAGCCUUUAUUUUAUAUACAAUUGAACAUGGAUCAGGAAAUGGACAGUUCUGUUUGCAAACUCAAGAUCUGAAAAGUGAAAAUAUAUAAAUAAAAUUGGCUCCUUCUCUUUUUACUGAAAUUUGAUGAGUUUGCACACUAAGCAAUAAUAACCUUUUAGCUAGUGACAUCAAACAAAUAGUCUUGACCGUACAUAGUGCAAUUGGGUAAGAACUUGAUGGUUAGUAUCUAAGGUACUAAGUUCGAAAUCUGAUUAUUUCACAUUUCAUAUUAAAUUUAUUUUUAAAAACUGAACGAAACGGUUAGCAUGCUAUCUUUUUCGCUACCUUUCUCUCUCUCAAUAUAAAAACAUGAAAAUAAUUUUUAGAUAUCUAUGUACGAGAAAGUUUGAGCUAUUGAAGGACCCUUCCCCAAAAUCAGCAUAGUGGAUGGUGCGGAGCUGCACAUCCGUGCAUUUUUGGGGACCCAAGUAGACGAGCGGUGCGGCGCGCAACCUCUCGGCCAAACAAGGCCAUAAUGAUCCUUGGCCAAUACAGUAUCCUCAAAUAAUGUCAUAGCUACAUGGAAAUAGACGCAAAAUUGACGUUGUUCUCCCUUACAUAUCCUAGUGUAGUUCAUAAAUAAACAAAAUAUUAAAUAUAAAAAUAUAAAAAUAUUAUUUUUUACUAGCUUAAGUUUUUAUCAUGAGAUCUACGUUUGAGUCACGCAAGCUUCUUGAAUAGUUGAUUUUCUCCCAUUAAAUUUAAAUUUACGUCAUGAAUCUAUUAAAAAGUCUCGAGCUCAAACAUGAGGGGGAGUGGAGAAAUAUCUUUCUCUACGUACUAACUUGAGCUUUUAGACAACAGCGGUUGUUUCACAUUAUUUAACACAAAAUGUGUCCAAGGUGUCAAUUGAGUGAUUCCUUUUUUUUUUCCUAUUUUUGUGCGCCAAAAUGAAUAAAAUUAAAAAAAAAUCAUGAAAUUGGCAGUAUGUUUAGGAAUAACUCUUAGCUCAAGCAUUUGUACUCAUUUAUACAUUAGCUGUCAUCAUCCAUUAACCUUUUCUAAUAAUCAUGUUUUCAAACAUAGAAAUUUUGGAUUGCACAGAUUUUUACAGUUGAGGGACUUGGAUCAAGUAUGUAAGGCUUAGAAGAGUAAAGGAAAUAGAUGGACUCUUCUCAAACUGAAAUGCUAUAUUAGCAACCGACUGUUCCUAGCGCAAAUGGCAAAGGACUUAGUGAUUGGUACCCGAGGUCUCAAGUUUGAAUCCUAGUUGAUUCAUAGUUUCAGCUAAGUUUAUUUAUAAAUAAAAUAAACAAAGCGGAUAGCAUGCUAUUUAUCUCUAAAAAAAAAAAAGAAAAAGAAAGAAGAAAUGCUAUAUUAGCCAAAUAUAUAUUAUUUUUUGAGAAAUUAAAAACAAUAGGAAAUAUAUAUGUUCUCAAACUGAGGUACAUGCUAUGGUCACAUAGCUGCUAUGGUCAAAUUAGCCAAAUAUAUAUAUAAUCCUUAAAAAGAGUGAAAACAAUAGGAAAUAUAUAUGUUCUCAAACUGAGGUACAUGCUAUGGUCACAUAGCUGCUGCAAAGGACCUGGAUAGAAACCUAGCUCAGGGUGCAUAGUACAUGCAUCAGAGAUUAAUUAAAUGUUGAAUUUGGAAAGGGAGAAAAGAUAUCAGAGAAUGCAUAUCUUCAUUGGCUAGUCAUAUCAUCUCUCUCCUCUCUCUCUCUCUCUCUCUCUCUCUCUCUCUCAUAAUGUAAAUGAUGAUUGCAACAGGAAGGUCUAUGAAAACAAUAAGUCAUUUUAACAUUAUAUAACUUCAUCAAGAAAAGUCUAACAUCAUCAUGGCACUGCGGCCAACAAUUAAUAGCAACAUCCUGAAUAUAUAGGAUCCCUACAUCUGUGCAUGAGACAAAUCUAAUAAAGCAGCAAUGAAGAUCCAUUAGAGGUUUAUAUGUUUCCAUGCAUAUGCUCUCUCCUCUUCAAUUCCAUUUUCUCCCUCUCCCUCAUCUAGCUACUCCAGGGUUUUGCUUCACAUGAACAUUGGUGUAUACUGCACCAAAUUAGUAGAGGAAAGUUGAACCCAACUACUUAAUCUUGUGAUCUGAGCAGUGAGAGGUGAUCUAGUCUUAUUUGGUCUUCCACUGCACAUUUACUGUCUCAGCUCUUGUUCUUACAUAUAUGGAGAGUGCCUAUACAUCAAAAACAAAACAAAAAAAAAAAGAAGAAAAAUUAGAGAAAAAGAAGAUGAAUGGUAAGAUCAAUUUGGUGAAGUUAAUUUCAUUAAUGGUACUCAUUUGAAGUUACCUCUUGCAUGUUAAAAGAGGUCCUUUUCUUUCUCUCUCUACUGAAACGAGCACAUGUCAUUGAACACCACUUGGUUGAGAAGGCCCUGUCUUUGGUCACCCACUUGCAUGAGAAAAUUUCCAGUGUCCUGUAAAUAAUCUCCACAUAUUAAUAUAUAUGAUAAAAUGCCAUUUUAUACUCAUAAAGGCACUCGAAACAUCCUUAAUUCCUUAAUCUCAAUUGCACGAAGGUUAGUAACGUUAACUUUUUGCGUAAAUUUAUGAGCAAACCUCAUGAGAGAAGGAGAUGGGCUCCGCAUAUUUAUUAUUAAGAGAAAUACUUUGGUACCCUUGUGCAUAAAUAAUAACGUACACACAAGCUAAUUUGUACGUGGCAUGAUACUAGUAUAUUGCUCGUUACAUCAUCAGCAGUGUACAUGGAUAGGUUUUUCGAUAACAACUUUUUAGGGUACUGGUAGUGAUAUUAUAGAAAUGAUUCGGUAUUUUUAAAAAAAAAAAUUUAAAAAAGAUCUUAACCUUUGAUUAAUAAAGGAUAAAAAUAUAAUUUUAAUAUUUAGCAGGUAAAAAAAUUAUUUUAUUCAAGAUUAGUUUGGUAAUUAAAAAAUACAACAUUUAAAGAAACCAGUAAUUGAGGUCCUAAAUUUAUGCAUUAAUUUGCACUAAUUUAGGAAAUUAAUUAAUUGAUUAACCAAAUUUAUGCAUUAAUUAGGCAUUAAUUUAGGCAUCUACUUUAAAUGUUUUAGUGUUUCUAAAAUUAUGCAUUAAUUUAAAUUAUAGGAAUUUUAGAAAUAGUUUUAUUUCUAAAUACGAUGAAUUUAAAUUUUAAAAUUAAAUACUUAAAAUUUAAAAAUGAAAUUUAAAUUAGAGGAAUUUCAUAUUACUAUUUAAAAAAUUGAAAUGUUGGUAAAUUUUUUUUCAACAUGUUUAAUAUGUUUUAGAAACUUUUAAAUUCAUAUAGUUUAGACAUUAAUUUUGUAUCACUUAUUUAAAAAAUUUUGAAUGUAGGUUAAAAUAUUUAUAAUUUAAAUGUAUUUAAUAAGUUAAAAAAAAAAUAGAAUUGUUCUACUUUAGACAAUAUGUUCUAAAUUUCAUUCUUAUUUUAUUAAAAAAAGAUUUAAAAAGCAAUAGGUAUGGAAAGAAAUUUUAAUGCAUAGUUUCUUAAAAUUAAACUCUCUUGCAAUAUUAAACAAAUAAACAAAGAGAAAAGAAAAAAUAAAAGAUUAUAUUGUCAAAUCAUUUGAAAUUUUUCUUAUAUAAAAUGCCAAAUUAUGAAAGGAAAGAUAGAGAGAGAAAAAGAAAAUAAAGAGAAAAUAAAAAUUUUGAAAAUAUAGUAGAUGUAAAAUGACUAAAUUGCCCAUGUAUUAAAAGACAAAAAUACCCUUUUUUGAGGUACCUGCCACCUGGUAACCGAUACCUCUCCCAAAGUGACCUGCUAUUGCAAAUCACCAUUUAAAAAAAGCUAAAUCUGAGCCGUUGAAUACGCGUGAAUGAACGGUAAUUAAAAAAAAAAAGUAUAGAAGUAUUACUCUUAUAUUUGCAAUGGUGUCCAAAUAGUAAGGAUAAAUUAUAAUUUUGGGCUUCAAAUUUUGACUCACUGUAAUUUCUUAUUCUAAUUUUUAAAAUUAUUACAAUCAAAUUUUAUAAUACAAUUUAAUUGACUAAACAUUGAUAUAUUUCUGACGUAGAAAUAAUAUACCACCAGUGUUGUGUAAUUGAAAAGUCACAUUACAUUUAGGGCGCGUUUGGUUUGUGCUAUUUUUUUAAGAUUUCUAGUAAUCCGAUAGGAAUAAAAAAAUAUGACGGUGUUUGGCUAAACGCACUAAGUAAUCUAGUUAGUAAUAUUAUAUUUUCUUGAGAAUGAUAUUCAUCCCAAAGUACUGAUCUCAUCCCCUUGAGGGAGGGUGGGUAUCCUCAUAUUAAUGGAUUGGGGUAAUCAUAAUAUUUCUAAUCUCUUUCUUUCUCCCUACCCACCGGCUAGUUGGUAUUAUUUUUUUUUACACUCUAACCUCAUAUCUCUCUCUAAACUUAUUUUUCUCUCUCUAAACUAAGCUCUCUCUCCCUCUCUUUUUCUAAAAUCUCAACUCUCUCACUCCCUCUAAUCUCGAUUCUAUUUCUCUUUCUAUUUCUUUAAUUAUACCCUCUCUCUCUAACCUAUGUUCUCUCUUUUUUUUAAAAAAAAGAUGUUGAAAUUUUUUGUGGCAUUACCUAAAAUUAAUUAAAGAAAAUAAAUAAAUUAAUUGUAUAUUUUUUGUAAACUUAAAUAACAUGACUAAAUAAUAUAACCGUGCGAACCAAACAGAGGAAUGUCACAUUCUCAGUAAUAGAAUGAAUAGGAAUAAAAUUAUCGGACAUCUUUUUAUUGCUAGUAAUCUUUCAUAGUGCGAACCAAACGCUCCCUUACAUCUAUGAUGCGUCAAUAUUUAGUGAACUAAAUUAGGUUGUAGACUCUCGAUUGCAACAAGUCCGAAAAGUUCGAGUUACAUAUUAUAACAAAUUAAAAUUAUAGAACUAAAGUGUCACUAGCCUUACAGUUUUAAUUAAGGACCAAACAUGCAAUUUACCCAAAUAAUAAUACAAUUACUUUACACUUAAAGAUCUUGAAAUAUUUAUUUAUUGCUUGAUCUUGAGGAGGGGAAAAAAAAAAAAAAACCUUUUGUUUUUUUUUUGGUUUUAAAAGAUAAGUUAUACAUGUAUAUAGUACCUGGGAAAAGGAAAUGGGCCCUUGGUUUUGUAGUGAAAGGGAUGUGGAAUUGCUUGUCAUGGGGUAGUCUCCAAGUGCCCCUUCAAAAGCAAUAGGUUGAAGAGGACUUGUUUCUGGGUGUACACAUGGUAUUGUCACUGACAUGCUCUCUGAGUAUUUCUCAAAAUUUGGGCUGCAACCCUGUUCAGAAUAUGAACUUCUUAGUACACUAUAGGAAUAAUUAAUUAUAUAUGUAUAUGGAAAGAUCAAUAAAUAAAUAGAUAAUGGAGUUUUGGGUCCUAUAUAUGUCAUACUUGUGCUUGAUCCACAAGGCCAUCAAAGUCCGAGCCAAGGCCAUAUAAUAUGGGACUCAUGGAAGCAAGCUUCAUGGAGAGGAACUGUCACAUAGAAGAGCAAAAAUAAUUAUUCCCAUUAAUCAUUGAUCAAAAUCCAAUUUUAAUGUAAUUGGUAUAUAUAUAUAUAUAUAUANUAUAUAUAUAUAUAUAUAUAUAUAUAUAUAUAUAUAUAUAUAUAUAUAUAUAUAUAUAUAUAUAAAAGAUUAUAGUAGAUUUAAUUUGUACCUCAACUUGGUUUUGGAGGGACUGCACAUAGUUGAUGAUCUCAUCCAACAUGAGAGCCUUUCCUGUGACCUAACAUCAGAAAACAGUGAAAAUAGAGAUACAUGAUGAGCAAGAAAUAUAUAGUUUCAAAAGCAAAUAAUUAAUAAUAGCAAGGGACUUGUUGUAUAUAUGUGUGUGCUUUUUUCCCAUUAUGGGAGAGAUGAGAUAAUUAAGAAGAGUCUACAAUAUAUUGUAUACCUUGUCACAGCCAGGGACAAGGCCUUGCAACAUCCUCAUCCUCUCACUUAUUCUCUCUCUCCUCACCUGCACACAGUGUCAUGUAGAGGAGAACAAUGGUAAUAUAUAAUUGAUUACAAAGAGCAAUGAAGUACAUAAUUAAUUAAUUAUGAGCCUGAUAUAUGAGAUUUAUAUCUUUUUUUCAAAAAAAAAAAAAAAGAUUAACUGAUCAGAAGGGACACUUGUGUGAUUAUUGAAGUGUGAGUAGCAUUCUUUUACCCUCUCAGCAAGGCUGUGGCUAUCUGUUGCUUGGCCUCUCCUUGCUCUGACAUGAAUGUAGCCUUUUGGAGGCUCCUCACUUGACUUGGCCUCACUCUUCACCCCAUUCUUGGCCUUAUUCUCCUCAUUCCUCACUUUUCUGGCCUUGCUGCUUUCCUUGGAUUCCUGCAGGAACAAAAUAAUAUCAUGAAGUGAAAUGAGUAGCUAGAUUGGAACCUAAUUGAUUAAUCUAGUACCAGUAUACCUUGGACUGAGAAGAGCUCAAGCUACUUCCACAUCUGCUCUUCCUCUUCUUAUCCUGUGGCUUAAUAAUAGCUGCUCUUUCACAAGGAUGGGGAACAGCAACCAGAGAAGAAGAAGGAGAGGAAGGGAUCAAUGGGGUAGAUGCACCAAUACUGGAGCUGCCACACUCAAUUGAGGAGGAGGCAUUGUUCCCCAUGUCUUCUGCUUGUUCAGCUGGUAGGAAUUGCAUCUUGAAGGUCUCAUCAUGACUUGGGUAGUCAUAAAUUGGUGAGUCUAGGAGGAAAGGGUUUUGGUGUUGGAAUGAAAAGAAUCCCAUUCUUUGUAUGAGAGAGAGAGAGAGAGAGAGAGAGAGAGAGAGAGAUGUAAUGUUCAAAGAGAAGGGAGAGGGCUCGGUGACUGAGAAACUAAUUAUCAUGCAAUGCUUUCCCCCAUAGCACUAGACCUGGCCUUCAGUUGGUUUAUAUAAAGCUGGAGUAGGAACUAGUUUCCUAUGUCACAUAGAGAGAUAGAAAAUGAGAGAGAGAGAGAGAGAGAGCACAUUUUGACUGGUCUCAUCAUCUCUCUCUCUUUUUUUUCUUCUCUCUCUCUCUCUCUCUCUAUAGAGAUCUCCUUGUCUGUUAUUGGAUAACAUGCUGCAGUGUUAGGAAUUAAAGGUGGCUAUUAAAGAGGCAACCAGACUAUGUAUGUAUGUAUGUAUGUAAAGGUUACAGCAGAAGCCAUUUUCAUUUUUUGACAUGUCUCUGGGAAUCACUGAAUGAUAGAAGCCACUUUUAAUUAAAUCAAGGGCCUAGCAUAAGUAGGCUUUUGACAGUUAAAAUUAGCCACUCAGUGACUCAGGUGACAUAGAAGCAUCUUAAGCACUAGAAAAAAAGGAAAAAAAAAAAAAAAAAAGUGGUUGCUAUAGCUAGGUGUGUAGAUAUUACUGCAGAGAUUAGUACACCAAGGAAGUAAUAAAUGCAGCUUGUUAAAAAAAAAAAGUUCCCCAGCAUAUGGCCUGCAUAUGAUUGACUCUGCAAAUGAUUGGUUCACGUCGAUCGUUUAAGGCCCAAUGAGCUUUAAUUCCAACAGUAGCCUCUGUUACUAAAUAAAAAACAAGAAAAAACUUCAAAUUACCACCGCUCUGGUUUCACGUUUUUUUAUUUUAAUGAGUGUCGUAUAUAUGAUUUAAAGUGUAUCAAUUUAUUAUCCCGUGGUUUUAUUUUUCUUUUUUUAUUAUCUCCUUCACUAAUUUUUUUUUAUUAAAUCGGUGAUAAAGUUAAAAUUAAAAGGUACUAAAGUGAAUAUUCGAUAAACCUAGGUGGGAUAUCUAAAGUUUUUUGUAUAUAAUUUAACGAAAUGUUAAUGAAAGAGCUGACGAAAAGAGAAAAAUAAAAUCAAAGGGUACUAAAUUGAUAUACUUUAAACCACAGGGUACUAAAGUGAGAAAAUACGAAAGUACAGGGGUGGUAUUUGAAGUUUAAACUAAAAAAAAAAUCUUUUCUACUAUAGUUAUUUUAUAUGGAAUAACCAAAAGGCUUCCACACAUUGCCCGUAAGUAUAAUAAAUUAUUUGUUUAAAAGAUUAUUUUAUUUUAAAAUUAUCAUAUAAUACUUGAUUAGAUUCUUAAUUAUUCUACACGGUAUAAUUAAUAAGCUGAUUUGAGGUAAAUCUUAUAUACGGGCAGGUAUUAAAUUAAAGAAAUUUUCUUCCAUUUCAUCGAUCAUUUGAAAAAAAAAAAAAAAAAAAGCUUGCAUUUUAGAUCUCAAGAGGAGAAGUACUACUUUGAUGCUUCUAAUUCUGGUGCAAAAGUUUAAAAAAAAAUUAUGAGUAGAAUGCUUCUUUUACUUCUCUUCUUCGAAUAAAAUUAUUCCCACAACAUUAUUUUUUUAGAAAAAGCACUACAACAGAAUUAGAUUAUAGGGACACAUGUUUGGGACACUUUUGAGUAAGUGUCCCAUUUAUACUAAAACUUAAAAAAAUAUCUACUAAUGCCUAAAUAUAAAGUCCAAUCCAACUAAAAAUAAAAGAUUACUCUACUCAACCCACCACACCCAGUCCAUUUGGCCAGAUUACAAACAGAAAAAAAAGAAAAAUCAAUUGCCAUAUUUUCUUCUCUCUUCACUCAAUCCACUGAAAUUCUAGACGAAGAACCUUUCCUGUCGUCCUCCUCCGCCACCGCAGCCAACGAGAUAGAGUUUCGGCGGUUGCUAAAUACUUAAAUAAGUGUUGGUAAAUUAGCAGUACUUUUUUAGGUUAUAGCGACACUCUUUAACUGUCAUUAUAUACCUAGCGACCCCACAUAUAGCAACACUUUUUAAAAGUGUCGGUACUUUUAGCUAGGAGCACUUUUUUGACAUGUACCUAUAUUUAAAAGUGUCGCUAUAGAUCGUUUUUGUUGUAGUGAAGGACGGUGUACAAAAGUAAAAUAAAACUUUAUCAAUCAUGCUAUACCCCACAUAGCAGAGCCAAAUAGUAAGUAAACCAAAUAAUGCCACCUCUGCCACUUUUACAGUAUUCAUUUUCUAUCUUUUUUAAAAUGCCCUUACAAAAAGUUCUUCAUGUUCAUACCUUCAGUAAAAUAAAAAUUACAAUAUUUACUAAACAAAAAUUACAACAUUUGCGCAUGCCCAUUAAAAUGUUAUAUAAUUUAUAUCCCACAGCUCACUACAAUAAAAACGGUAUAUAGCGACACUUUCAAAUAUCGGUAUAGGUCAAAAAAAAUAUUGCUGGCUAAAUUACCAACACUUUUUAAAAGUGUUGCUAUAUGUGGAAUCGUUAUAGGUAGGGCCGCCUUGAUAUUUGGCACCCACUCUACCAGCGAUCUGUGGCGGAAGGAUACGUGGCGAUCAUAGCCCUCUACGGUCCCUGCGAGAUCCUCAUAGCUGAACUCCAGCUGCCAGAACCCUAUUUCAUCGGCUGCAGCGGCGGAAAAGAAAAAGGGAAGAUGGUGAUCAAUUUUUCUUUUUUUUUUCUUUUUAAUUUGAAAUUGGGCCAAGUGGGCUGGAUGUGAUUGAUUAAGUAGAGAAAUUUUUUAUUUUUGAUUGGAUUGAACUUUAUAUUUAAGUCUUAAUAAAUUUUGAAAAAGAAUCAUGACAUAAAUAUGACACUUAUAUAAAAAUGUUCUAAAUAUGUGUCCCUAUAAUCUAAUUUUGUUGUAGUACAGUACUUACACAUUCUUCAUAUGAAUUAGAAGAGUCAUUCAACUCAAGCGGAAAUUUUGGUUUAAAUUAGAGAUUUACCUAUCAAAAACCAAUUUUUCAGAGGGCAUAUAUACAUGACAUGAAAUAUAUAUUAACUCUUGUAAUUAAUUUGUAGUAGAUCACGUAACAAAAUGAGUUUAGUUUGAAGGGAUUGUAGAAAAGUCAAAAGAUGACAUUGUAGGAGCAUAUAUAUACCAACUUUAUUUUUUAUUUCUUUUCUUUUGGGAAAAAAGAUGUAGCAGGUGUAAACACCCACUUUGUUAGGGGUCUGCACGCAUAAUGAGAUUUCAUUAAUUAUUAAACCAGAUUAAUGGCACCGUUCGUUGCCGACUUAAUGCUGAUUUUUUUUUUUUUUGUAUAUAUCUAUCUAUCCAUCUAUAUAUAUAUAUAUAUAUAUAUAUAGUCUCAGAAACUGUUUCUGUAGCAAUAUUGUCCUUUGCUAUUUAAUACCUCUCCUACUACUGUGUUAGGCACAAUCAUAAUAGACACUUCGCGCACCUCUAUCUUGUCUUGGUCAAUAUUAUUUGCAUUGUUUAUGCAUACGAGUAUGUAUAUAUAUAUAUAUAGAGUCCGUCUACUAUACUUUCGAAAGUACCGGGACCUCCGUGCUUGUAAAUUAUUUUCGAUGAUAGGACAUCCGAUUCGACGAUCGGCUCCGUUAGGUAUAAUCUACCCUAUUGGAACUAUCUAGAAACCAAAUUUUAUAAUUUUUUGACACCAUUUACUAAGCGAUCAAAAGGUCCCAAAAAUGACUAUUUUAACGGCCGAUGCGGCACGUUUUUAAGUUCAACGGUGUAGAAAUAUCCAAAUUACAUGAAAAUUUAAUAGAAAAUUCUACUUAACGUCAAUAGCAAGAUCAAUACUUCCGAUUUGAAAUUUGAGUCCUUUAUCAUUAUUUUUUAUAAGAUUUUUAUUUUCAGCCGUUCAUUUUGAGGCUACUCGUUCACUAGGCAAAAGAAGUCAAAAAAUUAUGAAAUUUGGUUUCUAGAUAGUUCCAAUAGCUUAGAUCAUGUCUAACGGAACCGAUCACCGAAUUGGACGUCCCAUCAUCGAAAACAAUUUACAAGUACGGAGGCCCCCGUACUUUCGAAAGCAUAGGAGCCUAGCUCUAUAUAUAUAUAUAUAUAUAUAUAUAUAUAUAUGGUGUGAAAUAUGGUGAAGAUAAGAUGAAUUAUUAAUUUUACGUACAUUGUUUGUAAAAUAAUGAAAGUGACAAUUAAUACAUAGAUGUUUAUAUUUCAAAUAAUGGAUGUACAAAUAAGUUAACUCAUGACGUCCUAGUGCUGAUGGGACUUACGACUAACUCUUAUACCAUAUUAUCUAUGAAAGUGUUUCAAUAUAUAGAUCAGAAAAUAAUUCAAGAAUUGUGCAUAUAUAUAUAUAUAUAGUAAAACCAUAAACAUACUCUUAAAUUGAGCGUGCAAUGGAGACAAUAUCGAACUCUUUUAAAUUUGUUACACAGGAAAAUAUAAUAUAUACAAAAAAAAAAGACAAAUUUGCAAUAAAAUUGUUUACAUAUAUAGGAAAUUAAUAAAUUUUGUCCAUGAAAUUUUUCGGCCUUAAAGAGAUCCAUUUGGGGUUACUCCACAUCAAGCCCAUAGGAGUUAGAAAAGAGGAAUAUACAACUGCAUGGCCCAUGGCCCAAUCUUAUUAAUUAGACACCAAAACAGAGAGGUUGAAAUGCCCAAAUCAAUUAUUUAAUGUAUACUAAUAAUAAUUUACACACCAAGUAACUAAGAAAGAACAGCAAGGAUUUACAAUAUAUUUUUUACAUCCACGUACCGUAGCCGCCGUGCAUGCACGCGAGCUUUCAAAAACUUUGCGUGUAGAAACUAAAAGAUACAUAUCAAUCACGCAAUUUUACUCAAAACACAGAUGUUCAACAUAAAAAGCUCGAUCCGAUCAGAGCAAUCGAGCCAGGCUUAUAGAACAAUCGACUAUCACACUUAGAGAACAACAGAACCUGAUUGCGUAUGUACAUGCAUAACAGGUGCAUGUAUUCGAAGAUUACGUAAGAUAAAGGAAGAACCUAGCUACGUACAAUCAUAAAGUUUCACCAACGCGCGCAACACCUCGAUUUUUCAUUGAAUCAACAAGAUAAUUAAUUAUUAUAGACUUAAAGUUGCAAAACCAAAAAAUAGAUAGAAAAAUUUUAUUUUUAUUUAAGAAAAGGCCUUGUUGGCUUGUUCUAUAUACUACCUACCUCUAAAGCUGUACAAAGAAGCCACGGUCUCGAACUCUUCUUCUUAAUUUUGGUGCCGAGACAUGUCAAGUCGUUUGUCGUUUGGGUGCGGACACGCGACCUUAAUUAAUACAACUUGGGGAGGACAAAAUAAACCCGAACUCUUCUUAGGUCGUAGGAUAUAUUAAUGGUACGUGCAAACUCACAACCCACAGGUUUCGCAUAUGUAGGAAUUAUGAGCAUGCAAUAAUUGAUUAACCCAUAUUUGCGGCAAAAAAUUUUGAAUUAAUAAAUUUUACGAUUUUUCAAUAUUAUUGAUCAAGCCAGCGAAAUGAUUCAAAAUUAUGGGCACGCAUAUAUGUACGCAUGUAAUCCAACAAUUUAUUCAUUAUUAGGUGCAUGCACAUUGAUCCAAUAAUGAACUAGCUUACCUGAGAUUAAUUAGGCUGUACAUGUCCAUUAAUUAUGUAGUUUAGCUGAGGUGACAGCUGCACUGACAAAUAAAGAUUUAAAUGUCUAUCGGUACAGACCGUAUUUACCGUGUUAUAUUGUGCAAGUAAAAUAUCAAUAUGAUACAGUCCUCGUACCGAUAGUACAAUUCAAAACCCUCUAUUUUUUAAAUUAGUAAGUAAUUUUUUCAAUAAAAUUUAAAAAAUUUGAUAAAAAUAUAUAAUAAAUAAUAGGCAUAUUUUGUUGUUAAAAAAAAUAAAUAUUUCAUAUCAUUACGUGUCGGCACACAUAUAUUUUUUGUGACUGGCAUAUAUCUACAUGAUCCGUCACGUACCAUGCCGUACCAUAGUGAUAAGUUUCCAGCACGAUCUCAUGCCGCAACACUUAAAUUCUUGCUUACAGAUAACUCUGUGAAGUCAGUGAAGCACGUGUUCUAAUCGUACAUCUCAUUUUAAGUAAAAUCUCUAGAUCUAAUCGUACAUCUCAUUUUAAGUAAAAUCUCUAAAUACAGAUUGUAUUUUUUUGUUAGAAAUUAUAAGAUUUGUUUUAGAGGAUUAAUAAAGAAAGUGAGAUUCACAUUCAGCAUGGAGUUCUUGUAGUUUGUUAGUAGUUUCUUCGCCUAAAAAUAGUAAUUAAUAUCAAUGAGUCUACCUGUAUUGAAAUGUCUAAGUGAGAGUACAAGUGUAUACAAUGAUUAAAUUAUUCUUUAUUGAUUUGUGCUACCAAUCGAACUUACGUAUAUUUAUUAGUGUUAUUGGAACUUCAACAUCUAUUUCUAUUUCUCUACAUUAUUUCUUUUUUUCUCUACAUUAAAGGAGGGUUUGGGGGGACCUUGGGGUGACACGUGUCCCCCCAAACCCCCCUUUACUCUCUCUCCCUCUAUAUAUAUAUAUAUAUAUAUAUAUAUAUAUAUUGAUAUCAAAAUUUAAAAUUUUGANNNNNNNNNNNNNNNNNNNNNNNNNNNNNNNNNNNNNNNNNNNNNNNNNNNNNNNNNNNNNNNNNNNNNNNNNNNNNNNNNNNNNNNNNNUUUUUUAAAAUUAUUUUGAUAUAUUUAUCACAAAUCUUUUUUCGCAUAAAUCUUUAUAAAAUAAGUUGUCGUUUUAAUAAAUUUUAUUUAAAUAAAAUUAACUAUUAAAUUAUUUUUAUAUAACUUUUAUUUAAUUAAUAAUUAGACUUAUAAAAUUAUUUAAAAAUAUAAAAAACUAAAAUUUAUUAAAAAAAAAUUUUAAAUCCGCAGCAUCGCGCGGGUAUUUCACUAGUUAUAUAAGUACUAUUUGACUCUCUUCAAAAAAAAAGAAAAAAGAGAAAAGAAAAAAGAAUUCAACUAUAUAUGUUCAAAAACACUAAUUAGCCAGAGUUUUUCGCUUUUAAAAAUUCAUACUUUUAUAUUAUAUGUCUUAAUAAUUGCCAUUGAUUGGUUUCUAACAAUUACGUACCUUUUUAUUUCAUGAUCAAAUAAAAAUAUUACUGAUCUACGUUACAUAAAAGAUCAAUUGUUUUCACCAGGUACAUUACAUAUAUUUCCACAUCAAGACAAGCAUAACUAAUAAUAGAAUAGUACCGACCGUUCCUAGAGCAAGUGGUAAAGGGUUUGGUGGUUGAUACACGAAACCCAAGUUCGAAUCCAAGUUGAUUCACAUUUCUAGCUAAAUUUAUUUCUAAAUGAAAUAAACGAAGCGAAUAGCAUGCUAUCUAUCUCUCUCAAAAAAAAAAGGAAAAAAAUAGUGAGCAUAAGUUUUAAUUAAUAAAUAAAUAUAUAUAUCUUGUACAAAU